GGAGGUAUCCAUUUAUUCGAUACACUAUUUGGGCAUGAGCAUGUGAAGUUUGUAUAACACCGAGAAGCAGCACUUACCUGAUUUACUGCAUACGCUCUCUUAGGAGCAUUAUCAGAGUGCUCCAACCCAAGGUACUGCUCCCAUGCACCAUAAACAUCUCUUCUCUGAGGAAAACAAAAGCCAUAACAAUGGAAUUAAAGAACCCACAAUGCAAUAACGGCAAUACCCAUAAGCACAAGAUUACAAUAGACCAUAGAACAUACCUGAAAACGGCUGGACACAACAUCAGAAUCCUGCAAGUACUCAGGACGACCAAGUGACAAGAAAGCAAACUUCCACUGCGCAACCAAAAGGGAAAUAGAUGAGCAGAAAAAUAAAAACCCAUUAAUUCUAGAGGUAAAACAAUCUUUUCCUCCAGUAACGUUCCAACAAAUGUAAGGUUGAAUCAAGUACCUUGGCAAACUCCUCAUCGGGGACCUGCAAUUUCUUUUGUAUCCGUUCUUUAACUUCAGCUAAAGUUUCACCUUCAUGGAUGACCAAGAAGAAAGGUUCCCCAAAAUUUUGUACUUGCUGUUGAAAUGUACAAAGAACAAGAUAGUUACUAAAAUCUUUAUAUAUUUGGGUUAAUCAGUCUUCAUCUCUAACUGAAACAGUAAUCAAAUAGUUGUACAAAAUACCAAUCAACAAGCCAAAAUUCCGCUUGCAAAAAAAAUUUAAUAAAAAUUCACAUACCAUCUGGUUCUGUGCAGUGUCUUUUGUAAAGUGGUAAACAUGAAUCAAGCGAUCAUGGGGACCCAAGUUUUUCUCUUCUUCUGGAAUCUGAUACAAGAGGGGGAAAAAGUCAGCUGCAUAGAAAGUACCAAGUAAAAAUAUCAAUCCAAGCAAGGAUGCUAAUCUGGAAAGGGAAAACCAACUAAUUACAAAUCUUGCCCAUAAAACUACACCCACAUUCUAAAAAAUUUCAACUGAAUAAAGAAGAAACUUCCCAAAAUAAAACUAAAUAAAGAAAAGGGGGAGAAAUGAACUUGCCUCCUCUGCACGCAAAGUCCAGUACUGGUCAUUUAUAUUCUCAAUUUUCUCACUGUGUGGGAAGAUCUGAAAACAAACAGAUGGAACUGAGUGCAACUACAGACUGCACAUACAUUAUUCGACGGAAAAAAAUUCUGAUAUAACAAGGUCCUUUAGGAAAACAAGCCAAACAUAUCAUACAUAAUCACAUCAUAAAUGGGGCCAGCAACAUGCAUAUCAUUUCUGGGAAAAAUGACCCAAAAAAGUACCUAUAUGCUGACACAGCUGACAUACAAAUAAUUACCUUGUAAAUCUUGUGAUAGAAAACCUCAAGCAGUCGGAGUUCUGCAUUUGGAUGAGACAGCUCUACCUGCUUCAAGUACACCAUACAUUGAGUAAAAUCUAUUAUACAGAACUUUCAAAGGAGGCAGAGAUAAAUUAUAUUGAGCAUCUAAUAACUCUUAAAGUUAGUCAAAGUGAUAUAUCUUAUAAGCAAUAAAUAAAGGGAUAUAUGACAGCAUCAUUACCUUUCCUGUACCAAAAACGAAAAGAAAAUACAGAUAGAACUUAAAAUAUGAUUGACAGAAACAGUACCUUCGUUUUAAGUACAUUAAUGACAUCCCCCACAGUGCUCUGUUUGGGCAAUCUAAUAUUGUGAAUCACCACCUGUAAACAUCACUCAAGUUUAUGAUGUGCACAAUGACUGUUCAUAGGCAGAAGACGCUGAAAAAAAAUUACUCAUACCUCAUCUUUGUAGCAUGAUGAAAAGCAACUUUUAGAUUUUUUAGGCCUUGCAAUUCUGGCAGGGGGAUGUCCAAGACUUCAUAAUACAAAAUAUCAGAGCUCUGUAAAAGGAAACAAUAAGCAUAAUUAGUAGCCACACCACAUGAUGCAUAUGAGAGUGAAUUAAACAGAGGAAGGGCAAUACAGUGCCACCUACUUGAUUGUAAUGAACUAACAUAUCAGUUAAAUGCUCUACGCCCCGAAAUUUAAUUGGUUGGGGCUUAGGUUGCUGAGAAUAGCAGUUAUGUGCAGUGAGUCUGAUUUUGGUGGGAUCUUCCAAACCAAUUUGGCGAGCCAAUUUCUCCACCACAUCAUCGUAAGUGUGUAGCUUUGACCUAAAAAUAACAAUGAAAAAUAAAGUUAACGAACUGAGUAAUAAAACAAUGAUGGACUGUUCAACUAUGAGGGACAAUGGUUCAGGAAGUACAUACAAUUCUAAACUGAAAUCCUCCUCCUUAGGUUUCUCCAAAGAACGGAAAUGAACAACCUGUAAAGCAUCAGACCAUUCAACACAGUUAGGUUUAACAUUCAACAAAAUAUAGCUAUAAAACAAAUUAAAUGUUUCCACAGCCUGUACCUGGCGAUUGUGUACGUAUUCCAAAAAUGAAGGAACAUCAGGAUAUUUACAUUCUUCUUCACUUUCAAGAGGAGUAGACUUCUGAAAGCAAAUAAUAUCCCCAUCUUCAAUCUGGAAAAGGAACGCAACCGAUGGUUAACUGAAAAUAUACCUAGAAUCAAAACGUUAAUUCCUAUAAUACACACAUAUUUGUAAUAUACCAAGCAUGCAAUAUAGCAACAGUUACCUGACUCGAUCGAAAUGAGGUCUUCUUGUCAAGAUGUUCGCACAUGAUACAUGGCUCAAACUUUAUUUCCUGAAAUUGUAGCACAAAAACAUGUAUUAAGUUUGCUUAAAAUGCUACAGCAAAGCAUGCAACAAAUUAUAAAUAUACAUAUAUAUUCUACAUGUCUAUGUACAAUAUAUAUGAGUGUGUGCGUGUGUGCGUGUGAGCUACGACACAACCUUAUGCUAAAAUUUAAAGUGAAACACACCUCAUAAAGCUCAAUUUCUUCAUCAGGGGUAAAACCAGCCAGUUGAUUUAAUUUUUUCCUAAAAUCUCUGCUGGUUUACUAGAACUCUUCACAAAAAACCUACCAACAAAACUGGAAACAGAAAAGAAACUUAAAUUAGCAAACACAAGGCAAAGGAUAAAAAUAUUCAGCUAAGCAGAAAGAGCAGGAUGUACCGUAGUUCUCGUUUCUCAGGCUCAUAAAGCUUAAAGAAAAGAAGGAUAUCUUCCUUGGUUUUGUCAGGCGGAGGAAUAGGACGUAGAUCCUGGAAAAUGUACAGAAACAAUAAAAUGUAAGAAAAAAAUCCUUUCAUACAGCAAUUGGAACUCCAAUAAGCUUCACUACACAGGUAGUAACAAGAAUAGAGUAAGACUGAUUACCGGCCCAAACUCUACUUCCAGAAACAACUUUAGCUCUGCAUUGUGUGUUUUAUUUGAUACCUCUCUCAAGUGUCCAACCUGAAAAAUGCAAGCGGUCAUCAUUAGCUUUGCAUCACCUAAACCAAGCUCUUCUUAGCACCGAAGUCUAGUUAAAAACACUAUCAAUCAUUCCAAAUCUGAGAUCGAAUGUUUAUCACUGACCAAUCCAUUAAGCACUUAGUUAAAUUCCAAUUUCACAAAUAAUAAUAACAAUUAUAAUCAUCCAUCAUUCAUUCAUAAACUUGAGCAGUUCAGUGUUAGACUAUACAAAGACAACAUCCGCUAUUAAUCCAAAAUGGAGGAAAAGUAAUAAUUCAGAGAUAUAAUAAGAAUUACGAAUUACGAAUAGAACUGAAAACAAAGCAUGUGGGCAAGGAGCAGGGCAUCUUGUAUUGAAAAUCCAUUCAAAGGUAGGAAGUACAAAGUACGUACUGAUUGUGUUUCUUCCUGAGGUGUCAAUGGUCGGUUGGGGCGAUAUGUGUGGUUUUGUCUCUUGGCCCAAAUCCAGAAACGCUGAAACUGCACUGGUAUGCCAAACUCUUUCGCAACCUCCUCCUGUUAACCAUUUCAAAUUUAGGAAUUCCCAUAUUAAACAUAACCCCAAAUGGUAGAAAAGAAUACAGAAGACAUAAAUGCACAAAGUCAGCCUGUACUGGUGUACCUUGAAAAGAUUAAAGGGCAUUUGUUUCUGAACACGGAAAUUACGAACUUUGUCAUGGUCCACUAGGUCAAAAUAAAUAUCCCUUCCAAUUUGUUCUGUCAGAUCCUCAUCUCGAGCAACCUAAACACAUCAUUAAAUUUUGCCAUAAUUUUUUUGUUCCACACCAAACACCUGUCAUACCACAUCUGAACAAACAAUGGUGAAAAUGGGGAUAAACUAGAAACCUUUACCUUAAUAAUAGUGUAGAGGUGUGCUUGUGCCUUAUAUUUCCUUUUGUCCUCUUUCUCUUCUUGUUCUUUCUUCAACCUUAUCUGAAAUGGAACAUAGAAUGUCAGUUCAUUCUCUUAAUUGGACACUGGAAUCAGAACUUAUGCUUGAUAUACCAUUACCCUUAGAUGUUCGGCUAUGUCUUUCUCAUCCACGUUACAUAUUAUUUUGUCCUUAUCACUGUCCCGUAUAUACACAAGCAUGUAUGCAUUUGAGUAUUUUGUAAAUUUGAAAGGAGUAUUAUUGAAGCCAGGAUUGGUCUGUGGCAACUGUUGGAAAGAAAACAACAAUAGGUCAGUUGACAAUUAAGAAACUUUAAAAUCAAGGAGAACUAUAGCAGGUUGGAUACAGCAAAAACUAAACUACCUCUUCCUCACCACCGUACUGCUCUUCUAAAGCCCUCUUCACAUCCUCUUUUGUCACACGUUCAUCAUCAAAUUUGUACCUAAAACAAGACAUGACAAAUUACAUCAACACAUGAAAUGCAUGCACAAGAACACUCAUUCAUGCAUAAGAGCAAGCAGUCAGGUAACCAAGUUAUGGUACCAGAAUCCAUCAGAAAAGCAAUGUGAAAUAUAUAGAUUCCAAUAAAACCAUCUUAUUUGAACAAGGACCAACAAAAAAAAGUAAGAAGCAAAGCAAGAGAGCAGUGUGAGAGAAUGUCUGUCUCUGCAUUCAUGUGUUUUCUGUGUGAGACUCCAGACAACUACAGAGAGAAUCGAUUCCAGGAGAUCCGUCCAUACCACUGGUCUGAGAGGGUUGGUCUGAUGAAAGCAUAGUAAUGGCCACCAUGCACCCCACCACUAUGCACCAAGACACUGCAACAGUAGAAAAUUAUCAUAGUAAGUAACCAACUACAAAGUAAAAUUUAUGAAGCUCCACACAACAUGACCAAACAGGCAUAUGCAAAAGCAGGAUCGAACAACCCUCUUCAUAUAUAUUGUAUUAGUAUUUUUAACUACCAUAAUCACUACUGGGCACAACUGAUAAAUUAAACCCGAAAUUUUUUUCAUAAUCCCACCCACUCAACUAAUAGUAGAGGCACAAUGCCUUAAUAGUCGUAGGCAUGAAAGAACUUUGAUAAAUAAGUAGACUCCUAGACAUCAUGAAUGACCAUACAUUAGAUAGUUCUAUAACCCAGCUUCAAUUUCAAUGAAAAAAAUUGGAUCUAUCCACUGGGGAUAUCAUAUGUCAAGACAAGAAGAAAAUUGGUUAUGUUACACUCAGUAAAUAAUGCCAUGCACAUGCAAAGGUCUAGAAAGUACAAUCCUUUGAAAUAACAUGCCAAAUUUAGGAAAUAGAUGAUCUAUAUUAUAUCAUGUAAUAGUACAAGGCAAAAUAGAUACCUAUGAAGAGUGUAGAGGUUGCGAACACUCUUAUCUGAUUCAGGUGAUAGAUAUUUUCCAUUCUCCCUAUCAAGGUCAAGUUGAAGAGGAAAUUCAUAGCGAUCAUUUAUCUGCCAAAAACAAAUAAUACAACAUUCUUACCAUGAUAAUUUAUUUGCUUUCCAUUUAAAAAAAUGUCAUUGCCACACGAACAAACAUACCCAACAGGUAAAAACGAAUUUCAUUAGUAUAUAUAACUUUGAAUAAAAAUAAUCCAUUAGAUUGAGAAAGUUCAACUAUAAAGAAACUGAAAAACAAUGAGGUUUUUUUUUUUUCUUUCGGUUACGGUGGUUUGGACAUGUGCAAAGAAGGCCUAUUGAUGCUCCGGUUAGAAGAUGCGACUACGGGACAGAGGUUUAGGGCCGAAGGGGUAGAGGAAGACCUAGGAAGAGACUCUAAGAAAAGACUUAAGUACUUGGAUCUAACGGAGGACAUGACAUAGAACCGGGGGCAAUGGCGUUCUAGGAUUCAUAUAGCCGACCACACUUGGUGGGAAAAGGCUUUGUUUUUUUUGUUGAGAAAAAGAAAGGAACAAAAAGAACCAUAUUGAUAGGGGUUAAUCCAUCUUUCAGCAUCCAGUCAUAAAACAAAAUUAAAAUUAGAUUGAAACCCAUUAGGCAAAGACAAGCUUUCACCUGAAUUUAUACAAAAUGUGAAGAAAUAUAUUUUACAUGGUACACUUUUGUUUUCAGCUAAGAAGCAUACCUUCAUAGUAAAACAUCACAGUUUCAAUGUUUCAUGUAUAAACACAGAUGAAGCUAAAGGAGGAAGAUGAGCUUCCAGUACCAACCUUAACCAUAGUGUCCCGCAUAAAAUCAUAUUCAAAUCGCUUUAGCUGAAGUUGAAGAACGGGAGGGAAGUCAAUAAACAGAACACCCUUCUUAGCAUCCUGGAAUAAACAUCCAAAAUAUUCCUUGAGAGCAAUAUUGUAAAUUUUUAAUAUCGAAGAAAUAUAUGUAAGAAUACUUGCUUCAGCAAGCGAUUUAAUGGAAAGAAAAAACUGAGGACGCAUCCAAUCAGAAUUUAAAAUAUAUCAUGCAUGACACCACCAACACAUGUUUUCGGAACAUAUAUUAAAUACUUCACUGCAGAGGAAACAAUGUAAACCCUAGUUUUGGAAAUAAUGCAACUACGAGCAGCCUCAGAUUAUAUGUAUAGUAUAAAUGCAGCCCCCCGAAAGUGAUUCGGUAAUUAACCUGCAAACCAUGUUCUUCGGCAUGGUAUUUAUUGUCACCCUCAAGACGUUCAACUUCCACAUACUUGUCAAAAGAAGCAUAAACAUCCCGACAGCCUUUCACAUCAAGCUGUAGGUCUGCAAAGUAAUAAGAAGAAACCAGUGGCAUGCACUGACAUUUACAAAAUAUUUCCAACUCUUAACAACUGAAAUUGUGCCAAUAAAUAUUACCAUAAAAUGAUUCCUUUCUUGUAGAUUUGUAAUCCACAUUGAUGCAUUCAAUGUAAUUCAUGUGAUGUCCUUCAAACAACUGCUGUAUUGUACCCUCCACAACAGUUCCCUGGGCCCACAGAACAAUUAUCAAAAUGAAAUGAACAAAAGCUACAGCAAUAGCAAAAACUGAAAGCUUCCUAUACCUUCAUUUUAUCUUCAAGCUUUUCACAAAGAACUCUAUUAAGUUCCUGCACAUCAUGUUGCAUAAAAGAAUCAUAUGUAUCCCAUCCAAAGGAUUUGGUCAAUUCUUUGGUUGCAACACUGCUGUCAUUGUAUUGAAGCUUAUAGAAUAAACUUUGUAGCGCCAAAGGGAUGCUUCCUGAAGGCAUGUCAUUCUCAGUUGUUGGCAUAUGAUACACGGCCUGGUAAGUAAGUCCAAAAUUGAGAUAAUGCUUUUCAUAGAAAAUUCAAACAAUUCAUGUUUAGCUUACAAUGAAAACAGGAGAUCACGUAAAUGACCUUUCUGAAGUACGGUAUAUGGUACAAAGUCUGGAGAAGAGAAUUCAUAUAACAAGUUGCUCCCUGAUUCUUGAGCCCAACAUAACCAGUUUCCUUUUUCGAGUCAUAUGACCAGUAAUCUAGAACCUUACGGACAGCAACCUCAGCUUCAACCACAACUGUAUCGUUCACCAGAUAUCCCCUACUCGGAUCAUAAAGAUCACCAAGAGGCAUGAAUGAAGUGAAUCCCCAGUCACUUUCUCUUGCAUUGAAUUGGUGCUGAGUGUCUGCAACAUCAUACAACAAUGAACGACAAAGGUCUUAAAAAACAUCUUGAAUAUGAUUAAAGAUUGUUCAAUUCUGGUUAAACGCAUUGCAAAUUAAUGUUCUAGAACAUAGGUCACACCAAUAAAAUACAAUUCUUUACCAUAUCUGAUCGUCAGACCCGCCUCAAGCUCAUCCCUUAAUAAAUGGGAACCCUUGAUUCAGUUAGCCUUUUCAUUACCUAGAAAUUCACCCUUUAAUUGCACGUAAUUUCCAAGUAAAUUCUUCCUGUUUCUACCUUUACUGUUAAUCUAUAUUUGACAUCUAGAUACCUAAAAGGAAUAAUCUAUUGGUUUUCAAUUUACUUCUAACAUCUGUUGGUACGUUUUAAUCCAUAAUUUUUUUAUUCACUUUUUCUCAAACUUCAAAAAUCCCCAAACAAAGGCGCCAUGGGCACAUAGUCAGACGAUGGUGCUGCUGCCGUUAGCCAAGAUUUUAGAGAGAAAGGGGUGGAAGAAUUUUCUUUACUUUAUAGUUUUGAUAUUUCAAUGAGAAAAAUUAGAAUUAAAAGCUCACAAUAACAAGAUUAGAGUGGUUAAUUAGAUAUUGUUUGCGUUCAAAUGGCAUCACCCAAGAACUAUGAAGUUGAAAGCCAGGUAGGUCCAUUCCAACAACAACAACAACAAAGCCUUUUCCCACUAAGUGGGGUCGGCUAAAUCCUAGAACGCCAUUGCGCUCAUUUGUGUCAUGUCCUCCGUUAGAUCCAAGUACUCAAGUCUUUUCUUAGGGUCUCUUCCAAAGUUUUCCUAGGUCUUCCUCUACUCCUUCGGCCCCGAACCUCUGUCCCGUAGUCACAUUUAGGUAGGUCCAUUCCAAGGAUAAUAAAUUCUAAUUAAAAGCCUUGGGUGCCCAUGACUACCCAACAACAAGCAAAGCUCUCACUGAAAGAAAACAAGAAAACAGAAUACGACAACCAGGCAAACGCACAGACUUGAAUGCUAAAAAGAAACAAGACUAAUAAAGGAAUAUACCCUUUCUUAUUGAGUACUUGGUAUGGAUAUGAUUAACUACAGCCAAGCUGAAGUGUGCAUAUCUACUCCACCCAUAUGGCAAUGUCCCGGAAUCUGCCACAUCCAAAUACAUUGACAAGUAGUCCACAUUGUUUCCCUUGGGAAAUAUUAGUAUCCGCCUGAUCAAACAAACCAAAAGCAAUUCAAAAUCCAAUCACCUACAAAUAUAAGCCAAUCUUAAGUAGCGUUAUAAUCAGUUUUUGACAUCUGGUAGACAAGAAAAAAUACCAUUUAUAGCCGCCCACUACGAACAUGUCAGAGUAGUGCUUCUUGAUGUUCAACCUAGUAAAGUUCUCAAUUGUCCAAGUGAAUUUCAUCGUUGGAGGAUCCUCCACUGGUUGACUAUCAACUGUACUAGCUGGCUCCACUUGGGCUACUACCAACACACCAAAUACCAUAAAUUUCAAAAAAACAAAACCAAAACCCUAAAGAAAAUGCAAACACUUGCACUCUAAUCAAACCCUGUGAUGCCAAAUUCGCACAAAAACCAAUUGUUUCAGAUCAACUACGCCACACAUAACGCUCCAAAACCACACCAUAAACACAAACAUAAGAAAUUCAAACAGUAACUCAUCGAAAAAUUGCUAAAAAUUAAACCUUCCAUUGGCUGAGGACCUUCGACCAAAUCCGAGUUCGGCACAAGCAUCUCUUCGUCCUCUUGCUGCUGCUGCUAACAAAAGAAACAAAAAUCAGAGCUCUGAUCGAGAAAAACCUAACCCUAUCUUACUGAAUCAUAACCCUAGCAAAUCAAUCACUUUAAGUCGGUGAAUUCCCAAAAUUCAUCCCAGUUCGAAACCGCCGAACGCCACCAAGAUCCAUAGGCGAUCAGAAACGAAGAACGAAGCCGAAACCCAAUGAAAUUAAACCGAGAGUGGAAAUGUAGAGGAGUCGGUACGUACAUCCAACGGUGCAGGAGUCAUCAUAGUCAUUGCUGCCGCGCAACGAACCGUCCGAUCGACGAAUCUGAGAGACGAACGAUACCAGUGAAAGACGGGGGCAGAGAGAGAGAGGGGGAGAGAGGGGAGAGAGGCGGGGCUUUGUUUUGCGAAGGAGGGGACACUCCCGUAAGAAACUGGCUCCGAGACAAGCCGCUGGGUGCAAAGUCCAGGGAGGGGCGUAUUGGGGAUUUCGUGAAAAGGCGGGGGUAGUUUGGGAAAUGGAGGACGGAGUGCGGUGGGUUUACAUGAGAGGAGUAAGAUCUUUAGCGUGUGGAAGGACCAGUGGGAGGCCGACACCUGGGGCGAGAUGGUUGGGUGGGAUUAAAUAGAUGACGUGGCAGUCACCAGAGGGUCACGUGCACUGGCGAAUGACGUAUGUGAUCUUUCCUCGUACACUGGUAUUCAAGCUUUUGUCAAAGUGGGUGAUGUCAUAAAUUAUAAUAAUUGUACACAAUUGGUAUUGGACUUCUCCCACUUUCAUACAAUCCAUCCACCACUCGGUCUGGAAAAGUUAUUUAAACUACUUAUUAAUAAAAAAUAAUUCUUAGAUAGGAUUAAAAUUUCUGACAAAGUUUUUAUCGAGACUCAUUUUUAGCAUCAUAUAAUGAAUAUGGUACUUAUUUUCAAAACUACUUAUUAAUUAAAUUUUCCUUAUCAAUUGAAAAAAAGUGAAAAGACGGUUUAGUAUUCCAUCAAAAAAUGAAAUAUAGUAUAUAAUUCCAUCCAAAUUGUCAUUUAGUAAUACAGUUUAAUAGUAUUUCUCUUCAUUGAUAAGUGAGAGGUAUUAGGUUCGAUUUUCAACAAAGGCGAAUUUGAACCACAUUAUUAUGGCUCACCCAUUGUGAGCCUUAACCCACUCCCCCACCCUCUUACCCCCUUAAUGUAGAUAAUAUCGUUUAUUUAAAAAGAAGGGUAAAUCUCAGUUUACUACCCUCAAGUUUUGUGGUUUUCAACAUUUGGUACAUCAAGUUUUUUUCGCCCCAGAAUCAUAUCUAAAGUGUUAAUUUUGGGACAGUCUCAUACAUCUGUUAGUUAAAUUGUUAAGUCUGCCGUUAACUGAUGACGUGACGCCUAUGUAGACAAUGACUGUGCACCACGUGUCAUUAAGGGGUCCACGUGGAUUUUUUUUAGAAGGGGUAUAAAAAAUUCAAAAUUCAAAAUUCCAAAAAAAAAAAAUGCCCGUCUUCUACCUCCCCCAACCCCCUCCUCCUUUCUUUCCUAUGCAACCCAUACCCGCACCCUCACCAUCCAGCUCUAAAAUCUCCAUGCCUCCUCCAAUCUUCUCCACCACCUCUUAGUCCAAGCGACCUACCCCAAUGGUUUCUCCAGCAGCAGCCCCCAUAGAAACCUAGAAACAACUACAAUAAUCCCACUGUGCAACCACCUUACCCACGAGCCCUAGCCACCCACAGUCUCACCCUCCUCCCACGCCCCAGACCUGCGGUAGCAAGCUUUAAUUCCUUUGCAGGGUCCGUAGCUUCAAUUUGUAGAAUCUCUUCCCAUCACCAACCUCACUCCCUCUGCAACCUUCAACCCAAAAUCACAACAAGUUUGAAGCAAUAAGGUAUAUUUCCAGAUCAAGGAUAGAGGCGACAAGGUCUCCGACGAAUGGAGAAAAGUGCUCGAACGACGGUGGGGAUGGGUAUUCCUUUCUCCAUGUUUGUGGGGUUAGGAAUGGAAUUUAUGAAAGAGAAUUGGAGAUGAGAUUGGGGUGGGGACGAUAGAGAAGGGGAUAGGAGUGGAUCCACAGAGGAGGGGAUGUGGUUUGGACAUGGGGCCUAGGAAGAAGCAAGCAAGAAAAAUCGACUGCAAAUCUGGAGAGACGAGGCGGUCAAAUCUGUAGGGAGAGUGAAGAACAGUGGGGGAAUAUGGGGGUGGGGGAAGGUGGUGGUUGCAUACAGAGAAACUGGGUCGUCGAAGAGGAUGAGGGUUGAGUAGGUGGAGUCGAAGAGGGAGGGGGAAUGAUGGAUGUGCAGACGUUGGGGUAGGUGCAAAGGAGAGAAGGGAGGGAUAAGGGAAGGGGGUCGGGGUGUGGAAGACAAAGGGGUUCUGGAUUUUUUUUAUUAUUUUAUUUUAAUUAAUUAAUUAUUUUAAUAGUUUAAUAAUUUUAAUUUUUUUUAUUGACACGUGGCGCCCAGUCAUUGUCCACAUGAGCGCCACGUUAUUAGUUAACGGCAGACUUGAUAGUUUGACUGACGGAUGUAUGAGACUGUUCCAAAAUUAACACUUUAGGUAUGACUCUGGGAAGAAAAAAACUUGAUGUACCAAAUGUUGAAAACCACGAAACUUGAGGGUAGUAAACUGAGAUUUACCCUAAAAAGAAUAAAGUUUCCGCCCAAGUCAAACUUCGUUGUAUUUUUUUUUUUCAAACCUCACUAACAUGUAGUCAUAGCACUUUUAAUUUAAGAAAAAAAUAAAAUAAAAUAAAACUCCCAUUUUCUCUUUUUUUUUUCUCUCUCUCUCUCACAUUUCUUUCCAACUUCUCUUUCUUUCAUUUUAAAAUUUGAAUAUAUACACACAGAAAGUGGCAGAGCCAGAUUGUUUAGUUAAUAGGGUCAUAAUAUCAACCAAAAAAGCUUUAUCGAGCCAUUUUGUUGAGCAUCUAGUAGUCAUAAUGAUUCGAUUGCAAAUGCAGAGCUUGACCCAUCCACCACGUUGGUUUUUCCUUCAUCAAUUUAUAAAACCUUGGAUUUUUUACUUCAAAGUCUAGCUUGCAUACUCUGCCAAUUCCUUUUGCCAUGAGAUAGAUCGGCCGCUACUCCUCCGCAAGAAAGAGUUGGUUAGACAAUGUGUGGUUGUUAAACAAAGAUUGGCUUUUUAGCAAGACACAGACUAAGCCAAAGACAUAAAUUUUUUGGGAGUAAGCAAACGAGGUGGGGUAGGAGAGUAAACGAAAAAUACCCAUCAACACCAAUGUUUGGUGGUUUAAGUGGUAAGGAGCUUGUUCUUCUUAAGCAAGGUCUCGAGUUCAAGCCUUGUGAAUGGAGAAGCCAACAUUGGAAAAGCUUGCCCCCUGAAUGGGGUCCGACCCGGCUCGAGGAUUGGUCAUUGCCUAUGUGCGGGGGAUAUCCUAGAUUCAUCCAAAAAAAAAUACCCAUCAAUACAAUCACCUUGCUUCUCACUUAAACUAGAGCAACGUAAGGAAACAGGCUACCUAAAUUUUGCACGACUUGUUCCCUUCUUUUGCAUGUUCAUACAAACUUAUGAGUCAAAUCUGAUGGUAUUCCUCUUCACUUCGAAGUGAUAGGUCUUAGGUUCAAAUCUCAUGGAUAGCAAAUUCGAUACCAAAUUAAGUUGCCCGACAGCCUAGGUUCUAACAGAGCCAUGCUUUUAUAACAACAAGGUAAGUUUUCAUAUUUUAAAGAGCUAUCCGCCAUUCCUUGAGCUCGUUAUGCCUUUACUUGCACCAGUUGUGCAUUAAUUCGGGCUAGUUCAGCCUCAAGUUUUGUUACCUUGGCAUCAUAUAUGGCGACGACGUCGUUUCUGUCUUGGCAUUUCUGCAUGGCCAGUCUCAUCUACCUUGCCUGCAUUCCUGGCAUGUUCUUAGUGCUUCAGCCCAAGGCACUGCUCUCAUGCAGCAAAAAUUUCCUACUCUGAGGAAAACAAAAUUCAAAUGUUGGAGUUUAAAAAAAAAAACCAACUAGGCAAUCCCAUAAACAUAGUUUGUAUUGGCUCGCAGACAUAACAUGAAAGAAAGGGUGACAUGAGUUGCGAUAGACCAUAGAUACACCUGAAAUCGUCUAGAAACAAUAUCAGAAUCUUGCAGCUACUCUGGACGACCAAGUCACAAGAAUGCAAACUUCCUCUACACAACGAAAAGGGAAAUUGACAAGGAAGCAAAAUAAACGAUCAUUUAUACUAGUAAGGAACACUCAUUUUCUCUACUGACCCCAUCCCAAUGAAUAUAAGCUGGGGGUUAAGUACCUUCGAGAACUCCUUAUCCGGGACCUGCAAUUUUUUUUGUAUCCCUAUUUUAACUUCAGCUAAAGUUUCCCCUUCACUGACGACCAAGAAGAAAGGUUCCCCAAAAUUUUGUACUUGCUGUAAAAUGUGUUAGACGAAGUCAACGUGAAGCUGUUAUCACCGCAUCUUUAGGAGUUUGAUUUACUUCAAACUCUUAUCAUUUCAACCAUUCAUAGUUUAUAAGAUUUGUUUUCAAAUAUCUGAUGUAAUAUAAGUUGCGCAUGUAAUCCUUAUAGCUUUCUGUUAGUAUUUUUAAACUUUCAAAACUUCCUUGUAUCUAGGGUUUUCAAACCCAUGCUGUAACCUUGAGAUGAUUAUAAAUGCAUGCAUCCCAGUUUUGAUGGGUAUGCAAUUGAAGUGAAACUUUCAGCUUUCUUAAGUUUUACAUGGUAUUGAGCCUUACUAAGUCUAACGACUAAGAUCAUUUUUUUUUCUCCACACUUUAAUGGCUGAAAACAAUGUCAAAUUUUCCAAUCCCACCCCAUAUCACCAAUCCCACGAACCCUACCACCAAUCCAUUUCAUCCUUUUUCCGCUGUUGUAAACAUCAAACUUGGCUGGACCAACUACCCACUAUGGUUGGCUCAAAUUCUCCCAAUUCUUAAGAGUAGAGAUCUUAUGGGGGUAUGUGGAUGGUACUUUGGUGUGCCCUCCCAAGGACUUGCCUGGCGUGACCACGGUCAAUCCCGCGUACACUGCGUGGGUUUAACAGGAUUAAAUGAUCCUCAGUUGGAUAAAUGGCUCUUUAGCUGCUUCUGUACUCUCUGUUGUGGUAAGCAAGAAGAUUGCUUGGGCCACAUGGGAAGCUUCAGAGCAGAGGUAUGUUUCUACCUCACAAAACAGAAUCUUGUUUAUGAGAAACGAGUUGCUACAACCCAAAAAAGACAAUCUCUCUGUCACGGACUACCUGGAUGGCAUAAAUGCCAUAGUCGAUAAUCUUGCCCUAGCGGGGCAACCAGUGAAUGAUGAUGAACUUGUGCAGAUUAUGUUGAACAAUCUCCGACUUGCCUUUGAAAUGAGGUUAAGUGCUGCUUAAGCUCGGGAUUCCCCUAUUACUUAUCAUACUCUUGAGGCACUUCUGUUAACCACCGGGCGCAUAAUGAUGGGUCAAAAUCCUUUUAUGGCUGAUAAUCCACCUGUUAAUGCUUUUGUUGCUGCGCGUGGCCAUGGUGGGGGACGUUCCCGUGGAACUGGGAGAGGUGCAUCACUCUCUAAUCGUGGACCUUCUUCUAAUCAACGAGGAUACAAUCCUCGCAACAACAACAACCAGUGCAACCAGCCAGCUAAUGGUGAGAGACCUCCUUAUCCUGGUGAAUGUAUCAUUUGCCAAAUCUAUGGGAAACCAAGUCAUCCAGCUCUUGAUUGCUACCAAAGGAUGAACGCUGCUUAUGAAGGUCGCAUUCCAGCCAAGAGGCUCACAUUAAUGUCCUCAUCGCCUAUCACCAUGAACAAACAACCGAAUGGUACCUAGUUGUUGAACACUGGUGUUAAUGCUCUUAUCACUCCUGGCAUUUAAAAUUUGGUGAAUCCCAAAGAGUACAAUGGUAAUGAUACUAUUGGAGGGGUAGGUAAUGGCUCUGGCAUCUCUAUCUCUCACUCCGGUUCAAAUAAACUACAUACUAGAACUUGCUCAUUUGAUUUAAGUAAUAUUCUUCACUGUCCCACAGCUUCUCAAAAUAUAAUAUCUGCUCACAGAUUUACACUAGACAACCAUUGCUAUUUGCUGAUAUUCCCUCAUUUUUUCCUUGUUAAAGACCUCAAGACCCGGAAGAUGCUUUUCCGAGGGAGAUGUGAGAAUGGAUAACCAUUUUUAGCAAUGGACAACACAAGUAUCCAAUUUUAGUUUUUGUAGGGAUUCGAUGUUCAGUUCAAAAAUGGCAUUCUCGGCUUGGUCAUCCUGCCAAUUCAAUAAUUAAGUUUUUAAUUUCAAAUAAAUUGGUACCAAUUCAUGGUACCACUGAUGUAAGCUUUUGUGAGUCAUGUCCCUUAGGAAAGAGUACUAGGUUACCUUUCAAAGUGUCUCAAUCUGUUUCUCAAUUUCCUUUGCAACUUUUGCAUUUGAAUGUGUGGUCUUCCCUAAUUAUUUCUAAUGAAGGUUUUCAUUAUUAUGUGCUAUUUGUGGAUGAUUAUUCGCGUUACUCUUGGGUUUUUCCCAUGAAACACAAAAGUGAAGUAUUUGAAAUCUUUGUUAAAUUCAAGGCUUCUGUCAAGAAUAGGUUUAAUCUUUCAAUUAAAACCCUUCAAUGUGAUGAAGGUGGAGAGUAUAAAAGUCAUGCUUUUCAGAAGUUUCUCACUACAAAUGGAAUUUCACAACAUUUUUCAUGUCAUAAACAUCCUGAACAAAAUGGAAUUGCAGAAAGAAAACAUCGACAUAUUGUUGAAAUGAGCAUAGUUAUGCUUUCUCAAUCUCACAUGCCUAAUAAAUUUUGGUUUGACACAUGUUCUACUGCAACAUAUUUGAUAAAUAGGGUGCCCACUAAAAUUUUAUCCAAUGUGUCACCUUAUGAGAGAUUGUUUUGACAAAAACCAAAGUAUGACAUGUUAAAAAUUUUUGGAUGUCAAUGCUUUCCAUGGUUAGUGCCUUACACACAAAAUAAACUUUAAUCUAAGUCAAAAGAUUGUGUUUUCUUGGGCUAUUCACUAAAUCAUCAAGGCUACAAAUGCUUGGACUUGUCCACAAGACGAAUUUACUUGUCUUGCCAUGUCCUAUUCGAUGAGGAUUUUUUCCCUUUUAAGGGACUCAUAUCUUUAGAAAACGUCAAUACCAAAGGUAAUCCUCACUCGCUCGACUUGUUAUUUACAUUUGAUUUGCCUCAUUGUCCUACUUUGCCUCAAUCACUUACUCAUCCACUUGCCGAGCAACCUGCUAACCAACUAACUAAUAUCACCCCUAUCACCCCAAACUCCCCAUAAUUACAACCUGACCCAAACUCUACCCUUGACUUACCACGUUCUAAUCCUAAAACACCUAUGUCAUCCUCUACCAUACAGCCUACCCUACCCUCAAAUGAGUAAGUUGAAGUACCUAUACAACCUGUGUUAGAGUUAUCUGAUGCUCCUGCACCUCUAGAGCAUUAUAUGGUCAUAAGAUCCAAGUCUGGAAUUCAAAAACCCAACCCUAAAUAUGCUAUGCAUGUUACUGUUGACAACUAUUUUGUUGAACCAACAUGUUUCACUCAAGCUGUUAAGUCCCAGGAAUGGAGGAAUGCCAUGGUUUAGGAAUUCAAUGCGCUGCAACAAUGUGGGACUUGGAGUUUGGUUCUGUUCACUCCACAGAUGAAUUUGCUUCCAAACAAGUGGGUGUUCAAGUUAAAGCGCCGUGCAGAUGGUACAAUUGAGCGUCAUAAGGCUUGGCUUGUGGCAAAUGGGUUUAAUCAGAAGGCUGGUGUGGAUUACAUCGAAACCUUCAGCCUAGUUGUUAAACAUACCACGAUCAGGUUUGUGCUUAGUGUUGCGGUAUCAAAAGGAUGGCAGGUUAGACAACUAGACAACCAAAAUGCUUUCCUACAUGGUUUCUUGAACGAAGAAAUGUAUAUGCACCAACCUUUGGGAUUUGUUGACAAACAGUUUCUAACUCAUGUUUGUAAGCUUCAGUAGAGUAUAUAUGGUCUUAAACAAGCACCCAGGGCCUGGUUUUAGAGAUUCUCCGACUUCUUGCUUCAACUUGGCUUCCAGGAAUCAACGUGUGACUACAGUCUGUUUGUAUUCAAUAAAAAAAGUGUGUACUUAAUACUUUUAAUUUAUGUGGACGAUAUCUUAAUCACUAGAAAUAGUUCUCACCAGAUUUCCAGGUUGAUACAAAGGCUGAGCACCUUAUUUUCCAUGAAAGAUUUGGGACCACUCAAUUAUUUUUUGGGUGUGGAGGUCAAGUAUGAUGGUGGCCAGAUGCACCCAAGUCAAUCAAAGUAUGCGUUGGAUUUACUAGCCCGCACCAAAUUUAUAGAACUAAGCCAAUAUCCACUCAUGUUUCCUCAGGCCAAAAACUCAGUGCCUAUGUUGGUGAUCAAUUCGAGAAACCAAAGGUCUAUCGUAGUGUAGUGGGUGAUCUACAAUAUCUCACAAUUACUCGUCCCGAUUUGUCAUAUACGGUCAAUCAAGUGUGCCAGUAUAUGGGCAUUCUCCCACAACCACUCAUUGGAUGGCAGUGAAACGUAUUCUUCGUUACUUGAAGGUCACGCAUAAUCAUGGUCUUUUGUACAAGCUAGGAACUAUCACACCUUCAGCCUUCUCCGAUGCGGAUUAUGCAGGGAAUCCAGAUACACGGCAUUCAACUGGUGGUUUUUGUGUCUAUCUCGGUUCAAAUCUGGUGUCUUGGAGUUCUAAGAAGCCGAAAACGGUUUCUCGGUUGAGUGUUGAAGCCGAGUACAUGCAAUUGGCUUCACGGUUGCUGAGCUUUCAUGGUUAAGAUCUUUAUUCAAGGAUCUCCAUUUACAUCUUGUGUGACCACAAAUCUGGUGUGACAACAUCUCUUCGAUUGCUCUAGCCUCGAAUCCAGUAUUUCAUUCACGAACUAAGCAUUUGGAAGUUGAUUACCAUUAUGUACCGGAGAAGGUGGUUCGUGGUCAAUUAUUGGUUAACUAUAUAUGUUCACAAGAUCAGCUUGCUGAUUUGUUUACCAAGGGUUUGUCUUCGUCUCGAUUCAAGUUAUUAGCAUCCAAGCUUUCAGUUGUUCCUCCACCUGUUAGCUUGCGGGGGGCUAUUAGACGAAGUCAACGUGAAGCUAUUAUCACUGCAUCUUCAGGAGUUUGAUUUACUUCAAACUCUUAUCCUUUCAGCCAUUCCUAGUUUAUCGGAUUUGUUUUCAAAUAUUUGAUGUAAUCUAAGCUGCGCAUGUAAUCCUUAUAGCCUUCUGUUUUUAUUUUUAACUUUCAAAACUUCCUUGCAUCUAGGGUUUUCAAACUCAUGCUGUAACCUUGAGAUGAUUAUAAAUACAUGCAUCCCAGUUUUGAUGGGUAUGCAAUUGAAGUAAAACUUUCAGCUUUCUUAAGUUUUACAAAAUGUACAAAUAGUAAGAAUAUAGGACCGAUUCGAAGAAUCAGAGUUUUUGGGUAAAACCAUCUUUAACGGUAAUAAAAAAGUUUUCUUCUACCAUCUGGUUCAAUACAGCGACUUUCGUGAAGUGGAAAACAUGAAUCAAGCGAUCAUAGAGAUUAGAGAUCCAAUUUUUUCUCUUCUUCUGUAAUCUGAUACAGAAGGAAAAAAAAAAAAACAGACAGCCGCAUGAAGAACACUGGUACAAUGAGUCCAAUUCAAUCCUAUACAGUAGAAGGGAUGUUGAUCCGGAAAAGGAAAACAAACAAAUAGCAAAUCUUGCCCAUAAAACUAUAUAAAAAUUUCAACAGAAUAAAACCAGAAACUCUUUAAAAUAUAACUAAAUAAAGAAGAGGGGGCAAAAGAACUUGCCUCCUUUGCACGCAAAGUCCGAUACUGGUAAUUAAUAUUCUCAACUUUCUCACUGUUUGGGAAGAUCUAAAAAACAACACGAGGAAUUCUGAGUGCUACAUCAGACAAAAUUACUUAAGUCCUAAUACAGUAGAAGGGAUUCUGACACAAUAAGAUCCUUGAGAAAAAUAAGCAAAAGCAUCAUGAUACAACCGACAUCACAAAUAGGGCAGGCUACAAUCACUUAAGACCAGAAAAAAGAAGAAGCUAACAUGCCGAUACAGCAGGCAGACAAGUCGUAAUUACCUUGUAUAUCUUGUGAUCGAGAACCUCAAGCAGUCGCAGUUCUGCAUUUGGAUGAGACCGCUUUACCUGUUUCAAGUACACCAUACAUUGAGAAAGAUCCAUAAUGGUGUUUAAGAGGCGCUGAUAACAAUUGCUACCAAUUUUGUCAAGUUAUGAUCACCGCUGCAAGUUGAGUGCAAUCCAUUAUUGGCAACUAUAAAGGACAGAAAGUACAAAAACUCGUAGAAGGGAGGGAGAAGAGUAGUUUUCAAUCAAUUAAAGGCUCUGCAGCGCUAACGUAAUGUAUGGAAGCAUCAUUAGCUUUCCUGAACAAAAAAUGAAAAACAAAAACACACAGAGGACUUCCCAUACGAUUGGCAGAAACUUUUAGAUGGGAAGUCAUGGAUAAUACAUGGAAUGCAAAGAUAGAGAGAAAUCCACCUUCGUUUUAAGUACAUUAAUCAUAUCCCCAACACCAACAAUGCUCUGUUUGGGCAAUAUAAUACCUGUAAAUCCCCAUCUAACACGGAAUGCAAGGAUAGAGAGACUCCCUCAAUUUCAAGCGGAGUAGAUUUCUGAAAACAUAUAAUGUCCCCAUCUUCAAUCUGGAGAAGAAAGCAACAGACCUAUAAAAGCUUAAAACUUAAAUCUUAUUGCAAGCGUGCAAUAUAGCAACAAUUACCAGGCUCGACUCGAAAGAGGUCAUCUUGUCAAGGUCUACACACAUGACAAAAGGCUCAAACUUUAAUUCCUGAAUGUAGCGCAAACACAUACGUAAGUUUAUGUAUAAGAAUGCUGCAGCAAAGUAUGCAUCAAAUUAUAAACUUACAUGUACAUUCAAAGACUAUCUCCAACCAUUGGCCUAAAACCUAAAAUUUUAUCUCUGGAAAUUUAGGUUUUAACUCAUAAAUAGUUUUUCUGCACCAACCCUUAUGGCCUAAAAUUUUAGGCUCACAUUAUUAAAUAAUGAAUUUAGGGUAAUUUUUGUGGAUGCAAAUUUCUUCAUCCUUGCUCUUGGACAAAAUUGCACAUACAAAACAAAUAACAUCUUAGGUCAAGGCCAAGAGCCUCACGCGUCCAUGAUGAAUGAGGGGUAUUGGCCGAAGAACCUCCGAUGCCAAAGUUAGAAUUUUGAGGGAAAAAUAUUUGGAGAAUUUAGAGAGUUUAGCAAGAGAAUUGGAAUUGAGUUUUGGAGAAAAUGAGGUAGUAUUUAUAGGGGUGUGGCCGGCCCCUUUAGGAGGAGGAGGACCGGUCACUUGGUUGGUAUUUUGGGUGAGGUUCAUGAUUUGUAGCUAAUUAGGAAUAAUUGAAUAAUAAAUUAAUUAAUAUAAUAAAAGAUGAAUGAUUUGGGAGUUACCUUGUGGAGAUUAUUUGAUAAGGAUAGAUGAAAUAUGUUUUGAAUUAUUACUUAUUUUGGGAACUUUUGACUUGGUUGAGGGAUGAUUGCCUACUGCUCGCACGUAGGAAUCCCGAUGUGCCUUGAGGGUAAUUUUGACCUUUUCACCCUAGAAUCCACGUGUUGCCUCCAUAUUUUUCUCGAUUAUUUUUGUCUCAACAAAUUUUUUUUUUUAAAUUGACUUUUUAAAAAACAAAAUUAUGUAGAUUAUCCUAAAUUAAUUUUAUGAACAUUUUAUCCUAAAAAUAUUUAAAUUCUAAUAAACAUUGAAAAAUCACUAAAUUGACACAUGAAACUCAUAAAACACUAUUGAAGAAUUUGAAACACAUGAUAGAGAUGUAUAAACACAAGACACAUGAGCAAACACAUGAUUUUGGAAGAUUGUAGAAAGAAAAAUUAGAAGAAUUAUAGGCGAAAAGUGAGUUUUGUGUGGAUGUUUCAACAAAUAUAUAAGUAUUUAUAGAGUUUUUGGAUGAAUUUUGAGUUAAAUAACUUUUUAUAAUUAUUUUAAUAGUUGAAUUUAAAUUUGGGCCGUUAGAUCUUUUUUUUUUACCGUUAGAUUUGAUUAUAUUCGAUCUCAGUUGUUGGAUUCAAUAAAUUUAUAAAUAUAAAACAAAAAUAUUAACUAAAUUAAACGUAGAUCGUUGGAUAACCAACAACUCAUUUGAAUGUGAACCGUUGAUCAACCAAAAGAGCCGUUGAGCUCAAUUUUAUUGGCAGACAAGUGGGAGACACACCCAUGUGGGUGUGGGCUCCACCACUAAUCUUGGCCUAAAUUUGGCUUUUUUUUUUGGGUUUUAGGUCCAAAUUAGAACUUGGGUUGGAAUGGAUUGGGGGGAAUAGAAGGGGAAUUAUAGGUUUUAAGCCAUGGGUUGGAGUUGGCCUAAUGUACGUAUAUAAGACACAACUGAUGCUACAAAAUUAAUGUGAAACACACCUCAUAAAUUUCAAGUUCAUCAUCAAGGGAAAAACCAACAAGUUGAUUGAACUUUGUUAAAAUCUCUACUGGCUUUGUAAAAACUCUUCAGGGAAAGCCUGCCAACAAAACUGGAAACAGAAAAGAACCUUAAAUCAGCAAAGAUGAAUCAUAAGAAAACUAUGAGCAGAAAGAGCCAUACCGCAGUUCUUGUUUCUCAGGUUCAUAAAGCUUAAAGAAAAGCAGGAUAUCUUCCUUGGUUUUGUCAAGAAGAGGAAUGGGACGUAGAUUCUGGAGAAUUUAUACAAGCAGAAAAUAUAAGAAAUUAUGGUUUUCAUAAAGCACUUGGAACUACAACAAGCCUCAAAACACGGGUCAUAACAAGAAUAUAGUAAGACUGGAUUACCGGUCCAAACUCUACUUCCAAAAACGACUUUAGCUCCGCACUGUGCUGACAUGAUACCCCUCUAAGUUGUCCAUCCUGUAAAACACAAGGAGUCAUCAUUAGCUCUAGUUGACACUGAUGUACAGCCAAAAGACAAUCAACCAUUUCAAAAUUUGAGAUCCAAUGUUUAUAACUGCCCAUCAACCUUUUUUUUUUUACAAUAAUAACUUCAUUUAAAAUGCCUUAUCCAAUACUGAAAACAAAAUGAUUAUCGAAAUAUUCAUUAACAACUUUUUACAUUCCAAUGUCGAAAGAGAAAUUGACAGUUAUGAGCAUACAUCAUUCGUUCAUAAACUUGAAAACUUCAGUGUCGGACCUAAAGUAAAAAUUCAGACACAAUGAGAAGUAUGAAUCACAAAAGGAACAAGGAGCAGUGCCUCCAAGUUUAUGCUUGAAUAGAAAAUUCUUUCAAAGGUAGGAAUUGUGAUGUACAUACUGAGGGCGCGUUUACUAAUUCGUAAUCAAAUUGAGGGGAAUUGAAUUGAUGAGGAAUUGGAAUGAGGUGGAUUCAGAAUCGGAUUCCUGUUGAAGCAGUUUACUUAAAUGUUCUGGAAUUAGAAUAGAAAUGAUACUAUUUCUAUAAAGCUGUUUACUAAUUUAACAGAAUCGGAAUAUAAACUAGUAUGAUUACUAAAAUGCCCUAGUCCCAAAUCAAAUAUUUUAUAUACUUUUUUUUAAUAAAAUUUGAUGUAAUAUAUAAUAGUAAGAAAAAAAAUUAUUUGAAAUUUUAACGAUUCCCGUGUUUGUUAUUUUUAAUAAAACUUGAAUUCUUUUUUUUUUCUUUCACUUUUUGCUCUUUCAUGAGUAAAAAACUCAUUCGACAAAAAAAGUUAAAAAACCCAACAACAAAAAUAACAGGAGUCGGGAGAGGUUCUGGAACCUUCACAGUUCCAUUUCCACCACAACCUUCUUUACUCUCCCCCAUCUGCAUCCUCAAUUGGUUUUUGCCAUCAUCUCUUGACCUUGUUCUGUUCUUUACUCUCCUUCUGUCGGGUCAUCGAGUUGUAAACGAUGAACUCCUUGUUGGCAACCAUUCUUGGAUUUCACAACCCCUUGUCAGCCGCUCAAUGCUAUCUGUAAAAAUGUCUGCAAUCGAAUUGGGAAAAAAAACCAAACUGUAAGUCAAGUUGCCAUUUUUCCAAUUCGAUUCUCAGUGUGCAAAUCAUAAGGUUUGCUUUUAUCUAUAUACUCCUCUGCAUCUGUCUCUCCACAACUGGAAUUGGAUCUGCGGCUAUCGGGAGUUUGUUGGUAGAACUGUUGGGUCGGUUGGUGGUGGGUCUUGGCAGUCUAGGAGGUGGUGCGGUGGUGUGAGUUGAUUAAGGGGUGGCGAUGAGUGUGCUUUUCAUGGUUGAAUCGUGAUGAAAGGGGCAGACUAAUUUCGGUAGAGAAGUUUGAUUCCGGAAGUUGGCCUUCUUUCGGAAUUCAAAUACCUCCUCCAAGUUAGUAAUUGGAUUCCGGCAAUAUUAGGAAUCUGAUUACUGAUUUUGGGUGGAGCCCACGAAUAUUUUCAUUCCCAAAAUUUAGUAAACGUGGGAAUCAGUUGGGGAAGAAUUCAAUUCUCAUUCUUCUACCUCCAUUCCGGUUUAGUAAACACGCCAUUAGUGAAGAUAAUAUCGUUUGUUCAAAAAAAAAAAACAAUUUGUAUCACGUCAAAUUGUCAAGCAAUGGUCAAUCAAACUCGCUAAUUUGGUGUUAAAUUCAAAUUGUGUUGUUGUACCCUGUUAAAAUCGUCACCUCCAAGAAGAAAGAGAUGAUACAAAAGUUGAAAAUAAAGUGUUUAGGAUAAAUUUAGAGUUCUCUAUAAUCUCACAAUUCUCAAAUACAACUUUGAUACUUUAUUCUUCUCCAUAAUGAGGUAUUUAUAAGAUUACAAAUGAGCAAUACUAAGAACUAAAUCAAAACAAUGAUUUGUCUACAAGACAAGGAAACCUAGACCAAAUCAAAUUAUAUGAAAACCCUAAUUAAAUCAAAUCCUAAAAUAUUUUCCUCUUUAUUUUCCAUCACCCCUCAACCUCAUGAUGUGAAAUCAUGAGUUUUCCAAGGAGGAAAUCUUCAUUGACAUGUUGUAACUAACGCCAAUCUUUCCGAAAACUCAGCAAAUCACAAUUCGUCAGAACUAACACCUAUUUUCAAAUGCCCAUUUGGAACUAGCGCCAAUCUUUUCGAAAGCCUAAUUAGAACAAACGUCUCUUUUCAAAAGCCCGAUGAGCACAUCAUAAUCCUCGGAACUAACGCCUCUUUUCGAAAGCCCAACUUGAACUAACGUUAUUUUUUUCGAAAGCCCAAUUGGAACUAACGUCUUUUUUUUGAAAGCCCGAUAUAUAAAUCUCUUGAUAUGUUGGAAUCAAUGCCUCUUUUUGAAAGCCCAGUUGAAACAAACGCUAAUCUUUUUGAAAGCUCAACUGAAAGUAACGUCUCUUUUUGAAAGCCCCAACCACCAAAUAUUUUUUUCCUGUAAUUCUUUUUUCAUUCUUGUUGUUUUUUUUUCUUUAUUUUCUUCCUCAAACUCAUAACUAAACUAAAUUAAAAAAAUAAAUAAAUAAAACAAAACCCAAAAUCUUUCAUGAUUGGAAAUGUAUCCUACCUUGACAAAACUUUUUUCUUCUUCUAAUCUCUUUCCUCCAAGGCAUUGAAAUCACACACUUUUCUUCUCUUUAUUCUUCUUCAUGGCAGCGGAAAUUUAUCUUCUUCUAACAAUCGUAAACAAUCUUCACCUCAAGUUCAUGGCAUGUGGGUGAACGAGAAAAUUAGCUUUGUGUGCCCACAUGGAAGUGCUCUUUGUGUGCCCACAUGGAAGUGAACUCCUCGUAAGCCGCAUCUGAGCAGAGAGUGGCUAGGCUGCUUCUAGAAUAGAGGCUCACAGUGUCUAACGCAGCCAAAGCCUCGGCCGAUGGUGCACUGGCCAAAGUGGAUUUCAGUAGUUCCUCAGCAGCAGACAACCUUUUCAAAGUAAGGUUGUCAGCAACCUCGGCUUCAAUUACGACUAUAUCAUUCAGCAGAAAACCCCAGCAUGGGUCACAAAGCACAGCAAGAGAUAUUAAACGUGUGAAUCCCCAGUCACUUUCUCUUGUCCGGCUGCACAAAAAAAAAAAAAAAAAAAAAAAAAAUCAUAUUAAGGAAUCAAUAAAAAAAAAAAGCUAAGAGACAUUUGAACCGAAGAGAAUAACAAAGAAGGAAAGAAUAAUAUACUCUCUCUCAUUGAAUCCUUUCUGUGAAUCUGAUUAACUACAGUCAAGCUGAAAUCCGCAAUUCUACUCCACCCAUAUGGCAAUGACUCAGAAUCCGCCACAUCUAAAUACGCGGACAAGAAGUCUACAUCGUUUCCCUUGGGAAAUAUUAGUACCCGCCUGAUCAGACAAACCAAAGCAAUUGAUCAGAAUCCAGUCACCAAGAUAAAAAGAACAAACACAGGAAAUUUCAGCUUUUAACAUGUAGUUGAAAUGGUAAACAUACCAUUUAUAAUCCUCGGCGAGGAAGAUAUCAGAGUAGAGUUUCUUGGUGUUCAGCCUAGUAAAGUUUUCGAUUGUCCAAGUGAAUUUCAUGGCUGGAGAUCCAUAAAGCUGUGACAAUUAACUGUACUGCUAGAAAGGGUCGACUUGAACUACUACCAAAAGAUCAAAUAUCACAAAUAUCAAAACAUACAACAAAACUCAAAGAAUCAAAAUUUUAAGAACUAGUGCAAGAUAUAAAGCCUCAAAAAUAUAUUCGUUCUGUGUGCGUUUCCUUCACACCAUUCUUCCUCAUCACUUAUAUAUCCCUCAUUUCUCCCCUAAAUUUUUCCUCUAUUUCUAACACAAAAAUAUAUAAAAAAACUAAACACAAAAUCGUAAUCAAAUUGGCCCUUAUGAAAUGCACUCACUUGCACUUUAAACAGAAACACACAAGAAAAAUUUGGAGAUCAACUAUGCAACACAUAAAGCUUAAAAACUACGCCAUGAACAAAGUAUAAGCAAUCGAAACAGUGAAUUAAUGUAAAACCACAAGGUUGUACUUGUGUCUAACAUAUAACGUUUCAUAAUACUUCGAUCUCUUCUCGUUCUUUCUUCAACUUAAUCCGUGGAUUCUUUUUUUAAAUUUGUUUUAUAAUACUUCGAUUUCUUUUAAAAUUUGCAUAUUGUAUGGAGAGCAAAACUUUAAAAAUAUAAAAUUACCACGUAAGUUAUUAAAUUUAAAUUUUAUAUUUUAAUCAUCAUCUUUGGAGAUGGUCUAAAGUGAUCUGCUAUUCUUUUUUAAUACAAAGGGGUCCUUUAGAGCACCUCGGGGGAGGUUGCUCGGGGGCUGUGGAUCAAACAGUAGCAAAUUGCUGGGGGGAUGAGCUCCAGCGUAUGGAAGCCCGAGCAACAGGCGAGGCCCGAGGAGCAGGCCCGUCGAGGAUUGCCAGCCCGAGAGCCCGAGGGUUGCGUCAGGCGCGUGCGUUUCACGCGCGCGUGGGCGCGAGUCGUCUGACAAAAAAACAGGGCUGGGGCCCGCGAUUUCAGUUUUGAAAAGUAACCGUUGGGGAAGCCACGUGGCUUCCCCAUGUCUGUUCGAUUGAAACGGUCAUAUUUUAUGGACCGUUGGAUUUCCAACGGUAAAAAACAUUUAAAAAUCUCAUUUAAUUUCAUCUGUUUGAUCUAAAAUCAACGGUUCACGUUAUUAGGCUUUGUAAAUUAUAUAUAAAAAAAAGAAAAAACUGUUUAAAAAUCUAAAAUGUUACUGUUGUGACACGUGGCACAAUCUGGAGUGUUGGAAUUUAAAUUUUUUUAAAUCCAACGGCAAAGAUUAAUUAGGUGAAUAAAAAUUUAAAAAAAAUGUAAAAAAAUUCUUAAAAAUCCGAAAAAAAAUUAUGAAAAAUUAUAAAAAAAUUUGAUUUCACUUCACCUAUAAAUACCUUCUCAUUAUCUUCUACCCUACACCACAAUUUCAUAUUUUCUCAACUACUUUCAACCACAUUCCUAUCUUUCUUUCAAAGUUUCAAUCCAAUUUUUUUCCAACAAAAUGACUACUCAACAAGGUACGAAUUGGACGCUUCUUGAAGAUGUUGCGUUGUGUACUAGUUGGGUUCAAGUUACUCAUGAUUCGAUUACGGGUAAUGAGAUGCAGUUGCGAGAAAUGUGGAGUCUUAUUCAUACCAAUUAUCUUGAGAAAAUGGGUGGGCAAAGAACUAAAGAAUCGAUGUCCAGUCGUUGGAAAUUACUUAGUCAAUCGUUUAGUACGUGGAGAGACGCCUUGGCACAAGCUAGUGGUAAUCUUCGAAGUGGGGAAAAUUUAACGGAUAAGGUAACAAUAUAUUAUUUAUUUGUUAGCUACUUUCAUUAUAUUUAUUUGUUUGUAUUAUUUAUUUGUUAUCUUCUUUCAUUAUAAUUAUUUGUUAGCUACUUUCAUUAUAUUUAUUUGUUUGUAUUAUUUGUUACCUACUUUCAUUAUAAUUAUUUGUUAGCUACUUUCAUUAUAAUUAUUUGUUUGUAUUAUUUAUUUGUUACCUACUUUCAUUAUAAUUAUUUGGUUGUAUUAUUUAUUUGUUACCUACUUUCAUUAUAAUUAUUUGUUAGCUACUUUCAUUAUAAUUAUUUGUUAGCUACUUUCAUUAUAUUUAUUUGUUUGUAUUAUUUAUUUGUUACCUACUUUCAUUAUAAUUAUUUGUUAGCUACUUUCAUUUAUAAUUAUUUGUUUGUAUUAUUUAUUUGUUACAUACUUUCAUUAUAAUUAUUUAUUUGUUACCUAUUCUCAUUAUAAUUAUUUGUUUGUGUAGGAACUUCAAGCACAAGCUUGGUAUGGUGCCAAAACCAAAAGCAAAAACAAAACAUUCACCCGGUUUGAAUGUUGGAAUAUUGUCAAAGAUUGUCCUAAAUUAGAGUUGUGCAUGUCGGUCCAGAAGUUUUCAUGAACAGCACCCCUCUACACUCUACACCUGAGCAUGCCUCGCAUGAUCAUGAUGAAGAUGAUGAAGAAGUGCUUGAAACGCCCCCCGUUGAACAAGCGUCGGGGUCGACCCGUUAUCCAAUUAGGCCUCAAGGUAAGAAGGCUUCAAAGAGAAAAGGUAAUGCUUCCAAGAAUGAUUAUGCAAAGUAUAUGGAAGAUCUUGCCCGCCAAGGUGAAUUGAAUUUGGCCCGGGAAAUGGCUAAAUUUGAGGCUGAUAAGGCUAGAGAGGAUGCAAAAGCUGCAGCUUUUGAGAGAAAAUUUGAAGCUGAUGAGAGAGAAAGAGAACUACUUCGGCAAGAAAGGGAACAUAGAAGAGAAGAAAGAAUGGCUGAACGAGAUCGUGACAUUAUGAAGGAGCCUUUAGAAGGGAAGUCUCCAGACUCUAAAUAUUUUUGGAAGUCAGAGAAAGCGGAUGUGGUGCGAAGGAUGCGUGCAAGAGAAGCGAGAGCAAGAGGAGAUGGUCCUAGCACCACAAGAGAAGAUUAUCCUAGCAUGACAAGAGAAGAUCAUCCUAGCACCACAAAUUGGUUAGGUGAUGGUUAUCAUCCAUUCACGAACCCAUAAUUUUCCAAUCAAUUCGGGUUGUAAUUUCUUAUUCGGGUUGUAAUUUCUUAUUCGGGUUGUAAUUUCUUAUUCAUUGAAUAGAGUACUUUAUGUUGUUUCCAAUUUAUUGAACUUAGUACUUUAUUCAAAACACAUUUAAACACACCAAAUAAAAUAACAUCAACACACCAAAAAAACACACCAAAUAAAAACAAACACCAAAUAAAAUAAAAUUACAUUUCAACUCACUAAAUGAACUAAAAAAACACACCACAUAAAAUAAAAUAAACACACCAAAUAAAAACAAACACCAAAUAAAAUAAAAUUACAUUUCAACUCACUAAAUGAACUAAAAAAACACACCACAUAAAAUAAAAUAAACACACCAAAUAAAAACAAACACUAAUGAACUUAAGUAUCGUCAGCACCCCUCAAUUCCCACUGGUGCUCUAUCAAGUCAAGUUGGCGGGCAUUGUGCAUAUUUGACCUUUGAAGUGCAGUAUAUCGUUGGAUGAUCCUUUCAUUGUAACGUCCAUCCCUUUCUAAUGGCUCAUGUUGCACGGGCUCAUCGGUGGCGUCAUGAGCACAAUAUAUACGUGUUCUUGAAUUGUUCAUCGUGUCUGGCUCAUAUUCAUCAACGGCUUCAUAAUCGUACUCAUCUUCCACAAUCAUGUUGUGAAGAAUGAUGCACGUCAUCAUGAUGGAUCGAAGCGACUCUACAUCAAACAAUCUGGCAGCACCCCUGAUGAUCGCCCAGCGAGCUUGGAGGAUACCGAAACAACGCUCCACAUCCUUCCUGCACCCUUCUUGACAUCUUGCAAAGUGUUUUUUCCUUUGCACUGCGCGGACGUGGCACUGUUUUGACAAAUGUUGACCACCUUGGGUAAAUGCCAUCAGCUAGGUAGUAUGGCCCGUCGUACAUACGUCCAUUGACCUCAUACGUGACUUUUGGUGCCUUUCCUUGCAGGACAUCGUUGAACACUGGGGAUUGGGCAAGGACGUUGAGGUCAUUUUGAGCUCCCGGAACCCCGAAAAAGGCGUGCCAAAUCCAUGUAUCAAAAGAUGCCACCGCCUCCAAAAUGAUACUUUUUGAUCCUUUUCUGUCCCCAUAAGCGCCUUGCCAUGCACUUGGACAGUUUUUCCAAGUCCAGUGCAUACAAUCAAUGCUUCCAAUCAUCCCUGGAAAACCUCGCAUCUCGCCUUUCUUCAGAAGCCUUUGCAAGUCCAUAUGAGUAGGUAUCCGGAGGUACUCUGCGGUGUAGAUAGAUUCGAUUGCCGAACAAAACCUCAUGAGGGACUCAAGAAUGGUUGAUUGUCCCAUCCUCGUUAUCUCGUCCACUUGGUCUGCAGCUGCUCCAUAUGCAAGCAUCCGCAAGGCAGCAGUAAUUUUUUGCUGAGGCAGGAGACCCAUAGCACCAAAAGCAUCCGGCUUUUGCACAAAGUAAGAAUCAUGGUUGCAAACAGCGCCCAUGAUUUUGUUGAACAAAUGUCGUUCCAUUCUAAAACGAUGUCGGAAGUAUGUAUCAGGGAAUGCACUGUUACGGACAAAAUAAUCGUCCAAGAGCUCCUGACCUCGUCGUUGCCUGUUUCUAUCAAUGUUUACAGCACGGUUGGGCCUGCAGAUAUGAGCCACAGCUUGGACGACUCGACGGGAUUGUGAGGCUCCUGCCAUUCUUGAUUCGUCAUCUCUCCGUCUACGCUCGUCAUCCUCUUCCAUCUCAUUUUGGGCCCAAUCCCCAACAUUGAACAUUCCUUGUGAUUGGUUAAACAAUUCUUCCUCUUCUUGCUCGAUUUCCCACAUCAUCUUUGAAGAAGAAGAAGAAGACAUUGUAAGAAGGAAGCAGAAACUAUGAAUAAUGAUAGGGAUUUUGGUGAAGAAGGAAGAAAAAACUAUGAAUAAUGAUAGGGAUUUUGGCGAAGAAGGAAGCAGAAACUAUGAAUAAUGAUAGAGAUCUUGAGAAAAUUGGUGUGAGAUUUAUGAGGAUGGAUGGGGGAUUAUAUGGAGGAUUCAGAAGGGAUUAGGUUGUAGAUAAUGCCACGUGGCAUGCCGUCAUUCGUUAAAAAUCUGGUGGAAAUCUAUCCUCAAAGAUUGUAAUCGGAUUAUGACACGUGGCACGAUGUGAUUGGUUAAAAAUCUUAUCAGAAAUCCAUCACCAAUAAUUGUCUUUUCAGAUAAUGACACGUGCCUUGACACAACGAUUAAAAAUCUUAUCGGAAAUCCAUCACCAAUAAUUUUCUUUGCGGAUAAUGACACGUGGCGCAACGAGAACGAUUAAAAAUCUUAUCCGAAAUAACAAAUAUAAUUAUUUUGAAUUAUUUUAUAAAUAAAAAAAUACAAAAAUUUUAUUGCUAUUGGCUUUUCGGAUAAUGACACGUGGCGCAACGAGAACGAUUAAAAAUCUUAUCCGAAAUUACAAAUAAAAUUAUUAUGUAUUAUUUUAUAAAUAAAAAAAUACUAAUAUUUUAUUGCCAAUUGCCAGGGCUAUUCAGUGCAGGGGUGGAGAUGCAAAAGGCAAUUGCCAGGGGAAUGCACUAUUUAUUAAGGGCAGUUACUGUUCACUAGGUGGAUUAAAUAGUGAAUUGCCGAAACAGAAGAUGAUUGUAUCAAAGAAGAUGAUUGUAUCAAGGGAUGUUAUAAAUUUUAUAACCUUGAUUCAAAGAAGAUGAUUGUAUCAAGGGAUGUUAUAUUUGAUGAAAAUGCUUGCUGAGAUUAGAAAUGUCAAUCUGAGAAGAGUAUCAGUGUACCAAUAACUGAUGAAGAUCUUUGUGAACAAAGGGAAGAAGGGAGUUCAAGUGAUAGAUGUGAUAUAAGUAAUGAGCCUCUGAUACCAGCAUCUGAAACUUGUGAAUCAAUUGAAAAUAGUUCAAGAUUGGUACUAAUGCAGAAUAAAACAGGUCCUCAAGAAUAUGACCACACUCCACUGAAAUUCAAGAGCAUGACAGAAGUGUAUGCCAAGUGUAAUUUGUGUAUUGUUGAGCCUAAAAGCUUUGAGGAGGCAGCCAAAGAUGAGCCAUGACAGAAAGUAAUGAAGGUAGAAAUUGCUAUGAUAGAGAAGAACUACACUUGAGAGCUUGUUGAUAAACCAUUUGACAAGCCAGUAAUUAGUGUCAAGUGGAUCUACAAGACAAAAUUAAACCUAGUUGGAUCUAUACAAAGCAAGAUUGGUUGCAAAGAGGUACUCUUAAAAGCCUGGGGUUGAUUUCAAUGAGACAUUUGCUCAUGUGGCAAGACUUGAUACAAUUAGAACUCUAAUUGGUUUAGUUGCACAGAAAUGGUGGAGAUUAUUCCAACUUGAUGUAAAAUUAGCAUUCUUGAAUAGGGUUCUAAAUGAAGAAGUGUAUAUGGAUCAGCCACUUGGGUUUGUGGUUGCAGGAAAGGAAAACAAGGUUUACAAGCUCAAGAAACGCUCUAUGGUUUGAAACAGGCACUAAGGGCCUGGUAUGAAGAGAUUGACUCUUAUUUCUAUAAUGCUGGCUUUCAUAGAAGUCCAAGUGAGGCAACUCUUUACAUCAAAGCAACUGAAGCAUGAAUUCUCAUUGUUUCUUUGUAUGUGGAUGACAUCAUAUACACAGGAACUUCUAGUGCAAUGAUGGAUGAGUUUAAAGAUGAAAUGAUGAAGAAAUAUGAGAUGUCAGAUUUAGGUCUGUUGCAUCACUUCAUGGGGCUUGAUGUAAUUCAAACAGAAGACUGCAUCUUCAUGCAUCAAAAGAAAUAUUCUAGAACCUUGCUAGAGAAGUUUGGACUGAAGGAUUGCAAAUAUGUUGCCACUCUACUUGCAACAAAUGAAAAACUAUGAAAAGUUGAUGGUAGUGAAAUUGUUGAUGAAAGUCUUUAUUGUUGGUAGUUUGUUAUACUUAACAACUACAAGACUUGAUAUUAUGUUGUUGCGAGUUUGCUAGCAAGAUUUAUGCAUAAUCCAACCAGAAAGCACAUAGGAACUGCAAAGAGGAUGCUGAGGUAUAUCCAAGGAACACUGGAUUAUGGAAUUGCAUAUGAGAAAGACAAAGAUGUUGUGCUUAUUGGCUAUUGUGAUAGUGAUUGGGCAGGGAGUAAAGAUGAUAUGAAGAGUACUUCAGGCUAUGUUUUCAAUUUUGGUUCUGGGGCAUUCUCUUGGGCCUCAAUCAAGCAAAGUAAUGUAGCAUUAUUGUUACACCAUACCCCAUUUUAAAAAUAUUUUUGGUCUUAAUUGGUGAGCCCAAGGGGCCUACCCCUUUAUUUGUGUCAUCAGUUCCUUUUCCUUCUCAUUUCUUUAUUAUUUCCUUCUCUCUGAGCUCCCUCUGUCUCAUUCCUAUCUCUCUCAACAACUCUUUCCAUACCUUUCCGAUGCACCCCCAUCCACCCACCCACACACACUCAUUCUCACACCCAACUGGCCAUGACGCACCACCCAUCACCAUCACUCGGACCUCCAUUCUCUCAUUCACAUCUCCGGUUUAUCUUUGACACUAUGCACAAUCACUGUGCAAGUGUUUUCCAAUGAAGGUAAGUUGAACCACUGUUCCAUCUUUCUCCCUAGUAGUCUAGAAGGCUUAGUGGUUGCUAAAAACUGGUUUUUGGUGAAGGUUUAAAUGUGAAAACUGCUCGGGGAGCAUUCUCCAUAUUUUCCGGCGAGCAUAGCCCCUUUUGAGGCGUUUUUUGGCCAAAACACGGUGAGUUAGACAUUUUACUAGGUACCAUUCUCUUUGUCUCUUCGAGGGCUAUGGUUUCCAUUUUUGAAUCACUUGAUUUCGUUGAGUAUUGACAAAGUUAUGAACGUUUAAAGUUAAGGAACUUUCCGGCCGAAUUUUGGCCUUCCUCUUCCCUGAGGUCCGGCGUCCACCUUUCCUAGUCGAACCAGGCCUUUUAGGCCACCUCAGAGACCAUCGGGCCUUAGGCCCGUUUCAGACCCAAGCCCAAGUCAUUUUCGUUUAUUAUUAAUUGUUUUGGUUUAAUUAAAUUGUAAAAGGCCUUUGGGCCUUAUCUAUAAACACAAAACCUUUUUCAAAUUAGGCAUUCGGGCCGUAAGGAGAUUGGGCCUUUGGGCCCGUGAAGUUUAAACCCUAACCCAGCCCACCCAUUUUUCCGAAACCCAUUAACUCUAAUUCUAAAACCCAAAUUCUAAACAUUUUUCCUAUAAACCCUAAACCCCUAAGUCUAACCCUAAACCCUAAAGCCCUAAAGCCCUAAACCUAAACCCUAAAGUCCUAAACCCUAAACCCUAACCGACCCAAACCCUUUAUGUGGAAUAUUCCAUCAAGGAAUAUUCCAUUAGAGAAUUUUCCAUCAGGAAAUAUUCUUUGGAAUAUUCUAUUGACGUUUACAAAAUUAUCUGGGACCUUUCUCAGGGUAAUUCGACGUUCUGAAUCCGUUUUCGACGUCUGCUUUCCCAAAUUAAAUCGCUUGAGUAUAGUUUUAUUAAUUGGACCCUUUACGUGCUUAGAGGCAAUUAUUGUGAUGUUUUUGUGUUUGCUAGUUUGCGUGGCUCUUCGACGGCUAAGUAUCUGUGAGUGGACCCUUUCUAAAAAUGCAUGUUUAAAUAGUAGAAAUGCAUACAUGAAAAGCAUGAUUUAAUGAUUAUGUUUUAUGAAAUGUUUUGUGAGAUAACAUGCUUACUGAGGCUUACUAUUAUUUUUCCUAUAACCCAUGUUCUUAUAGAAUAUCCCAUGGAUGACGAUAUGAUAUUUAGAACAUGUUUCGAACACCUCUUUAUAGUAUAGAUGAUGGAUGACUUUAUACUAUAAAGUUGCUUUUCAAUACAUAUAUAUAUGUUCAAUGGUUUUAUACUUACCUACUGGUCUUUUUUACUACGGGACGUAGGGAUAGAUUCCGGUCCAUCCCGAGUGACGGUUUGGUGUUGGCAUAGGGCCUAGAGUGUGUUUCCUCUGGCUAUUAGCACAGGAGCCGGCAUGGGGCCUGAAGUGUAUUUUCCUCUGACUGUCUGCUCAGAGACGGGGAACCAACAUGGGGCAUGGGGGUUAUCGGACAUUCACUAGUGAUUAUUAUAUAUACAAGUUAUGAUUUGAGACAUUGCACGACAUGCUAGGUUUCGGAAAACCUAUGUUUAUCAUUAUAUGUGUGUUUUCAUAAAACCUGGGGGUUAGUAUGUUGAUAACUGUUUUAUUAUAUCUAUAUCAACUUGGUCCACUCAUGUUUGUUUUGAGCCCCCUUCAGGGUUUAGAAUCGAGACAUACAAUUCCGGCAUCAAGGCACUUCCGCAUCAGCAUUGUCGAGUCCUCUCGGUGUAGGACCCAUUACUUUAUUAAUUCAAUUUUAUAUUAUUUCUUUUAGUGUUCUAGUAGUUGUAUGCUCUGAACACGUUCAUGUUCUUUAUUCUUUUAUAAUUAUAAGUCUUAUUUAUCCCUUAUUUUCAGCUUUUGCACUCAAUAAAUGGCUUUCGUCACCCUCGGGUGUCGGCCGUGCUUAUCCUGGUAUUCGGGGAAUAUCAGGAUCGGGACGUGUCAAUUAUCCAUUGCAGAGGCAGAUUAUGUAAGUGUUGUAAAAGCAAUUGCACAAGCCAUCUGGUUAAGGUUUGUUCUCUUAAACUUUGGUGAGGAAAAAGUGGAGCCAACUCAAAUUUUAUGUGAUAACACCUCUGCCAUAGCAAUUUCGAAGAAUCCAAUAGCACAUCACAAGGCAAGGCAUAUCAACAGAAGGUUCCAUUUCAUCAGAGAUGCAUUGUAGAAUGAUGAAAUUGAUCUAAUCUAUUGCAAAACUGAAGAGCAAAUUGUUGAUAUAUUCACAAAGGCCUUGGCUAGAGAUCUAUUUGAGUAUUUGAGGAAAGCUUUGGGGGUGAUUUCAGCUAAACACUUAGAAUGGAUUGUUAAUAUGUAAGUGUAUUAGUAGAAAUAGCUUUAGCCAUUUUGUUUGUUUUAAUCAAAGCCCUUGGAUCACAUUCCAAAUGGAUGAUCUAGAUUAAGUUAGUAUAAGUGAUAUUAUGUGACACAUUUAACUAUCUCAUAGGAUAGAUGACAUGGAGGGGUGAGAUCAUUUCUUUAUGUUAGAAGAGAGAGAGAGAGAGAGAGUGGAAUUAUUCAUUUUCUGUUGCAACGGACAUAUUCCGAUCGCACUUGUAGAGAGAAGGUGAGAAUCAAUGAAAUUAGUUUUGCUUUCAUCACUGUGAAUACUCUCUGCAAUUCUCAGAAAUCCAUACAUAAAUCCAUUGAAUCACAAUACAAAACAUAUAAUCUAACAGAGUCUGCUUGUUUUGCCUUUAACUUCCGCCAAUUCAGACUCGAGUUAUGCUGCCUUGACAUCGUAAGUGGCCAUGCUAUCUUCUCUUUUGACAUUUAUGUAAGAAGUAAUUCGAAAAACAACAAGUUACUAGGAUCACAGAUAAAACAUAAAUAAUUACAAUAAACCAAUCAAACAAUUAAGGGAAAUAAACUUAUCUUCCAAAGCAGAGGAAAAAGACGCCAUGACUGCUAGGGUUUCAAAAGGAGUCUUCUACUUCCAGUACUUCAAUAAUAUCUCUCUGCUAUAUGAAUAGGGUUUAGCGUAUCUGAGAGAUUAAGCAUAUGAAAGCAGGGACUUAACCAUAGUAUUUAUAUCAUUAUGGUUUAAUCGCAGCCGACCUAUUAUUGGUUGUGAAAAUCAAAUCCUAUCACUUAAGUGAUUGAGUCCUACCAUGAUUCUAUAUCUUUGUAGCGAAACCUAUUAGAUGUUUUUGAGGUCAAGUGCAAAGGUUAAGACUCCAUAAUCCUUAUUUUACUAGGACUAUUAGAUUAAUUAUGUCGUUAACAACUCGAUAAACAAGUGGCUUACAACACAAGUAAUCCAAUACAUCAUUCAUUGUCAUUCACAACUUUACAAUUUAUGCAUGGUCAGUCCCAAUCGAGCUUUGAUCUCUUCGUCUUUUUUUUCUGCACCACUUACCGGAGAGUGCUCCAACCCAUGGUACUGCUCUCAUGCACCAUAAACAUCUCUUCUCUGAAGAAAACAAAGUUCAAAAGUUGAACAUCAAAGCAAUACGAAUACCCACAACAACGGUUCAGAUUGACCCUCAGACAUAUAAUAUGAAAGAAAAAGGACAUGAAUUGCAAUAGACCAUAUACAUACCUGAAAUCAGCUAGAAACAAUAUCAGAAUCCUACAAAUACUCUGAACGACUAAGUGACAUGAAUGCAAACUUCUACAGCACAACCGAAAGGGAAAUAGACGAGGUGGCAAUAAAGAACCGCUAAAUUCUAGCAAUAUAGAACACUAUAUUCCUCUUGUGACAACCUAAUAGAUAUAAGGUGUGGGUGAAGUACCUUCAUGAACUCUUUAUUGGGAUCCUGCAGUUUCCUUUAUUUGUACGCGUACUUUAAACUUCUGCUAAAGUUUCACCUUCAUGGAUGACCAGGAAGAAAGGUUUCUCGAAAUUUAUUACUUGCUAUUUGAAAUGUGUACAAAGAACAGUGAACAAGAUCAUUAAAAAGAAUCAAAAAGUACUUGGUGCAAUAAUUCUCUAGGUUUAACUGAACUAGUAAGCCAAUAUUUUGAUUCGGAAAAGAAAACUCGCAUUAAAAAUUAUCAAAAUUUCCUUCUUUGAAUUUUUUUAGAAAAUUCCAAUACCAUCUUGUUCUUUGCAGUCUCUUUUGUGAAGUGGUAAACUUGAAUCAAGCGUUGAUGAAGCCUCAAGAUUUUCACUUCUUCUGGAAUCUGAUACACAAAAAAUACAAAGAACUCAGCUUCAGAAAGACACUGGAAUCGAAUUUCAGGCCAUUCUAGUCUUAUACAGUAUAUGAAUGCAGAUUAAAAACCGGAAAACCACGUAAAUAUUACAGUUCUUGACCAUAAAAAAAAGGUCGUACCCAGUGCACAAGGCUCCCGCUUUACGCAGGGUCUUGGAGAGGUGAAAAAAGAGAAGCAGGAAAAGGAACUUGCCUCCUCAGCUCGUAAAGUCCAUAACCAGUCUUCUUGAUAAUAAGUUCCACAUUGAUGGGAGGAGGGACCUUACAUGGGCUUAUACUCCUCAUAUUGCCAAUUGGUUUUAUGAUGGAGGAGGGACCUUCCAUCAUAAAACCAAUUGGCCACAUUGAUAGGAAGAGGGACCUUGGAUGGGCUUAUAAGAGGUUGAGCUACUCCCUAUAUUGCCAAUUGGUUUUACAUACAGUGGAACCUCAACUUUCUUCAUAGAUUGGGGUUCCAUCACAACACUAAAUGGCAAUAUGAGGAGUAGCAUAACCUCUUAUAAGCCCAUACAAGGUCCCUCCUAUGUGGGACUUAUUCUCAACAUCUUCAAUAUUCUCAAUUUUUUCACUGCAUGGGAUGAUCUGAAAAGGAAACAUGAGAAAUUAUGAAUGCUCUUUCAUUUGAAACACAUAAAUAAGAGAUCAAAGUCUCAUACAAUCGGUCAACGACAUAAAUGGGGAAAAGCCACACUUUCUGGGCAAACCCUAAUCCAUGCUGAUACAAGAACAAGUACUUACCCUAUGAAUCUUGUGAUGGUAAACCUCAAGCAGUCUAAUAUCUGCAUCUGGAUGAGACAGCUGGACCUAUUUCAGAUACAUCGUACGUUGAGUAAAACCAGUUAUGCACAACUCUAAGAUGAAAAUGGGGGAUUUGGCUAGGGUGUGUGGGGAUGUUUUUACUUCGAGUAUCUGUCGAUUGUGUCUACACAUGAUUCUCAGAACAAGAUUGCUACAGACAUUGUGCAUAAGAUUUGUGUCUUACAAGAAAAAACUUCAGAAGGAAAAUAGAAAUAUCAAUUUAUGACAGCGCCAUUUGGUUUUGGAUACAAAACAAAACAGCACCAAACACAAAUGGAACUGCUCGUAUAGCUGGCAGAAGUUUUUAGAUGGACAAUCAUGGAUAAUAAAAUGUAGUAGCAACAUAUUUUAAAUAAGCAAUGCCAAAAUAAAGACAUCUAACCUUCCUUUUAAGUAUACUAAUCACAUCCCCGACAGUGUUCUGUUUGGGCAAUCUAAUACAGUGAAUCUCCAACUGUGAACAAAUUACAAAAGAUUAUGAUGAGUUGAAUGGUGUAAUAACGGUCCAUAAGUAGAGAAUACGAUCAAAUAUUUCACGACCUCAUCUUUUGUAGUAGGAUGAAAAGCAACUUGUAGACUUCUUAGGUCAUCUCCAACCGAAAGGGUUAAAUAUAGCCCCGUUCAGAAUUAUAGCCAUGCAAAAAAAUUAUUAUUAAAUCAACAUUAUCAUGCCAUACUCUUAUACUAUCUCCAACCGAAAGGGCUAAACAUAGCCCCUUCAAUAAUUUAUUAGUUUUAAGUUUAUACUUUAAAUUUAUUGGUUAAUUUAGUUAAAUUAUUGUUAGAUGGUUUCAAAUAUAACUGUUGAAUUUGAAUAAGUUAUUACAGUUGAGGAGCUGGACCCCAAAAAGGGGCUAAGAGGGGGGCUACAUUUGGUCAGUUUGAUGCUCUUUUGGCCAAAUAAUAGUCUGGUAGGCUUUAUAGAAUUAUAACAUAGCUAUUCAUUGGAGAUGAGUUUUUGGACAAAUCAAGCCAUUUUUUAGCUUUUGAACCCUUAGCUCUCUCCGUUGGAGAUGACCUUAGGGCUUGCACUUCUGGCCAAGGGAUGUCUAGGACUUCAUAAUAUAGAAUAUCAGAGCCCUGUAUAGAGAACGACAAUCACAAUGAGCAUCAAUAAUAAAUUAAACGACAGAGGCAUCUCAAUAUAGUGCCACCUACUAGAUUGUAAUGGACGAGCAUAUCUGUUAAAUGCUUUACGCUCCGUUAAUUGAUCGGUUGGCGCCUAGGUUGUUGAGAAUAGUAGCUAUAAACAAUGAGUCUGAUUUUGGUGGGAUCUUCUAAACCAAUUUUGCGAGCUACCUUCUCCACUGUAUCAUUGUAAGUGUGUAGCUUUGACCUAGAAAACACGAAGAAAAAAAAAACAGUUGCAGCACUGACUAACACAACAAUGACGGACACUCCUACUAUUGUUGGAAGCUAAACAGGUUCUGAAGUCAAAGGAUCGAAGGUAGCAAGGAGCUCCCGAGCAUGGUUUCUAUCUGCAUCGAAGAAGAAAAAAGAAAUGAAGGGUUAAAGCCUUCAACGGCUAGUUUUUGUUUAAAUGAAUGUGUGAGUGUGUGAGUGACAAGUGUACACUCCAGAUUAGGUUACUUAAAACCCAAAUGAAGGGUUAGGAUUCAAUAUGGAGUAGUAAGGUUAAAAUGGUUGUUAAGCCUCUUGUCAAUCACCUUUUUACACAAGUAUGGGUUAUGGCAAUGCACCACACCCUACUACAUUUCCCUUACUUAAUGAAAUAUGAGUUGCUGCAUUUUGCAUAGCCAAUCAAGCAGUCAAUCACAUCUCCAAGUCCUCUCCAUUCUUUGCUAAGAAACCGAUCCAAAAUAUAAACAAAAUCAUCCAAAACAAACAAACCUUUAUCAUGGCCUCAGAGCUAGUUUUCUGAUCUUACAACUUUCUGGGCGCACUUUGUGCAAGUUGAGAUAUUUGGGAGCACCUACUUAGUGUCCUCAACAACAACAACCAAUAAACAAUUCUGCAAAUGAAGGGAUCAAGCAGUAGCAGUGAGCUAAAAGCUCCAAUCUUUGAUGGAGAGAACUAUGACUUUUGGAGAAUAAGAAUGACAACCAUUUUCAAGUCCUAUGAUAUAUGGGAUAUGGUUCAACAUGGGUAUGAACUACCUGAGAUGGAGGUCGAUGCUCUAGAGGAGGACCUCACAGAAACACAACUCAAAACACUGAAGCAUAACCGAAUGGAGGAUGCUAGAGCACUUGGAAUCAUCCAAGGUGCUGUCUCAGGCACAAUUUUCUCGAGGAUAACAAAUGAAGAGAUUGCAAAGGGAGCUUAGGAAGUUUUACAACAAGAGUACAGAUGAGACACCAAAGUUAGAAAGGUAAAACUUCAGUCCCUUAGGAGAUAUUUCGAGUAUACAAGAAUGACGGAAAAUGAGUUGUUGAAAGAUUACUUUACUAGGCUAUUUGAUGUUGUAAAUAAGAUGAGAACAUAUGGUGAAGAACUGCCUAAUGAAAGAAUUGUCUAGAAAUUAUUGAUUAGUUUGACUAAACCCUAUGAUUCAAUAGUGAGUGUUAUUGAAGAAACCAAAGACACUGAAACUCUUAGUGUGCAAGAAGUGAUGGCAUCUUUAAGAGCUUUUGACCAAAGGCUUGAGAGGCAUGCUAAUUUUUCACCUGAGAAAGCUUUUCAAUCACUCAAUGUUGGAUCUAGUAGUCAAGCUAGUGCAAGCAAACAAAAACCACAGUGGAAGAGCAAGAACAAGAAAUGGGAAGGAAAAUGGUAUCAAAACCCUAGACCUAACUAAGGCAGCAACUUAAAUGAAGGUCCAAGAACCAAGCAACAAUGCAAGCACUGUGAUAAAUUCUAUCUUGGGGAGUGUUGGUUCAAGGACAAGCCUAGAUGUCACAAAUGUAACAAGUUCGGGCACAUUAUGAAGGAUUGCAGAUCAAGAAAUGUGCAGCAAGUGAACUGUGCAAACCAAGUUGAAGAAGAAACAAAUGUGUCAUGUGCUUUCAAUGCAAAAGUGGAGAAAAACAAUGAAGUGUGGUACAUUGAUAGUGGUUGCAGCAACCAUAUGACUGCACAUGAGUCAUUACUCAUUGAUAUUGACACAAACUUCACUGGAAAAUUGAAAAUGGGGGAUGGAAACAUUGUCAAAGCCACUGAAAGAGGAACUCUGGUCAUAACACUAAGAAAGGAAGAAGAUGCAUAAGGGAAGUGAUGUUAGUGCAUGGAUUGGAUGAGAAUCUACUUAGUGUGGGUCAAAUGAUGGAGCAUGGUUAUUUCCUACUCUUGGGGGGAAUUGUGAUUGAGAUCUAUGAUGACAAGUCCCUAUCAAACUUAGUGAGUAUAGUGGAAGUGAAAAACAGAAGCUUUCCACUUAUGUUGAAGUACCUAGAGGAAGUAUCAAGGAAAGCAAGUGUGACAGGUUCUAUGAAGUUAUGGCACAAAAGGCUUGGUCAUUUAAAUAUGACAAGCUUACAAAAUCUGCAAAAACAUGAAAUGGUGCAAGGUAUACCAAAGAUGGAUCAAUGCAAUGAAACCUGUGAAUGGUGUGUAUUUGGCAAACAUCACAGAGAUCCAUUUGAAGCUGGAAAGGCUUGGAGGGCAACAAAGCCACUCGAAUUGAUUCACACGGAUAUGUGUGGACCAAUGCAAACAACAACAAUCAAUGGAAACUAGUAUUUCCUAACCUUCAUUGAUGAUUACUCACGGAUGUGUUGGGUGUAUUUCAUGAGGUUCAAGUCUGAAGUAUUCACAAUAUUCAAGAAGUUCAAGGCAAUGGUGGAAUUGCAAAGUGGAUAUCAAAUCAAAAGACUAAGAAAUGAUAGGGGGAGAGUACACUUCUCUUGAGUUUAAUGCAUUCUAUGAAGAUUUGGGGUUGGAGAAGCAACUCACUGUGGCAUAUUUACCACAACAGAAUGACAUUGCAGAAAGGAAGAAUAGGACUAUAGUCGAAAUGGCUAAGUCUAUGAUGCAUGAGAAGAACAUGCCCUAUACAUUUUGGGGUGAAGCUGUGAACACCUCAGUGUACCUAUUGAAUAGGUGCCCUACUAAAGCAUUGGACAAUAAGACUCUAUUUGAAGUGUUCAGUUGAAGGAAGCCUUCUGUGAAGCAUAUGUGAGUGUGUUGGCUCAGUGUGCUAUACCCACAUUCCUCAACAACUAAGGCAGAAGUUGGAGAAAUCAAGUAACAAGGGUGUUUUUUGUGGGUUAUGGAACCAGUGAGAAAUGGUACAGAGUUUACAAUCUGUCAACUCAGAAGAUAAUCCUAUCAAGGGAUGUUAUAUUUGAUGAAGACUCAACAUGGAACUGGGAAACAAGGGUAGAAGAGAAGGACAAUGUCUCUUUACAACUUGACCUCAACAAAAGGUAAACAAGGGAGCCUAUGGAGACCUCAGUUUAAGAAGAAGUCACAGAAAAUGGUGACAUACAAGGGACUCCACAGCAAGCUAGCAUGAGUCCACAACCGAGUCAAUCAUAGAUAACAACUCCAAGUUCAACUCCAGUGAGGUUGAGAAACUUGGAUGAGAUAUAUGCUACAUGUAAUUACUGUGUAAUGGAACCAGAAACAUAUGAAGAAGCUGAGAAAGACAAAGCUUGGGAGAAAGCAAUGAAGGAAAAGCUUGAAAUGAUAGAGAAAAAUGAUACUUAGGAAUGUGUAAAUCGACCAAGUGACAAGCCUGUGAUUGGAGUGAAAUGGGUGUACAAAACCAAGCUCAACCUAGAUGGUUCUAUGCAAAAGAACAAGGCCAGGUUGGUUGCCAAAGGUUACUCAUAGAAACCAGGUGUAGACUUCAAUGAAACCUUUGCUCCAGUAGCAAGGUUAGACACCAUAAGGACCUUGAUAGCUCUAACAGCCAAGAAGGGUUGGAAACUACAUCAAUUGGAUGUCAAAUCUGCAUUUUUAAAUGGAGUGCUAGAGGAUGAGAUGUUUGUAGAACAACCUCAAGGGUUCACAAAUCAAGAGUUUCCAGAAAAGGUGUACGAGCUAAGGAAGGCUCUCUAUGGCCUAAAACAAGCUCUAAGAGCUUGGUACAGUGAGAUUGAUUCCUAUUUCACUGAGAAAGGAUUUCAGAAAAGUCCUAGUGAAGCUACACUCUACACCAAGACAGAAAGCAACAACAAGACACUCAUUGUCUCAAUCUAUGUGGAUGAUGUUGUCUACACUGGAAAUGAUGUUGCAAUGAUUGAAGAGUUCAAGGAAGAGAUGAUGAAGAGGUAUGAAAUGACUGACCUAGGCCUCUUACUCAUUUAGCAUCUUUAUUCAUCAAAGGAAGUAUGCUAAAACUUUGCUUGAAAAGUUUGGAUUAAAGGGAAGCAGACCAGUCUCUGCACCCCUAAUUGCAAAUGAAAAGCUUAAGAAGGAGUAUGGAAGUGAACCUGCAGAUGCUAGUCUCUAUAAAAGCAUUGUUGGCAGUCUAUUGUAUCUAACUGCAACAAGGCCGGAUCUAAUGUUCUUAGCAAGCCUACUUUCUAGGUUUAUGCAGAAUCCUAGCAAGAUACACAUGGGAACAGCAAAGAGAGUUUUAAGAUAUGUGCAAGGAACACUUGAUUAUGGGAUCAAGUAUGAAAUGAGGAAGUCAACGGAUUUUGUGACAAUGACUAAGGUGGCAGUGAAGAUGAUAGCAGAAGCAUAUCGGGCUAUGCUUUCACCUUUGGAUAAGGGGAAUUUUCAUGGGCCUCUGUGAAGCAACAAAGUGUUGCACUGUCCACAACCGAGGCAGAGUAUAUGAGUGUAUCAGAAGCUACAGCUCAAGCUAUUUGGCUAAGGUUUAUACUCAAAGACUUUGGCGAAUUGCAGGUUGAUGCCACACCACUUUUGUGUGACAACACCUCUGCAACUGCCAUGACCAAAAACCCAGUAUUUCAUCAGAGAACAAAGCACAUCAAAAGAAGAUAUCAUUUCAUCAGAGAGGCAUUGCAGAACAACACAAUCAAGCUAAUUUAUUGCAACAUAGAAGAUCAGAUCACAGACAUUUUCACAAAAGCAUUACAGAAUGAGAGAUUCAAUUACCUGAGGGGAUUGCUUGGAAUGACUCCCAUAAGCAGUUUAGAAGGGAGUUUUGGAAGCUAAACAGCUUCUGAAGUCGAAGGAUCGAAGGCAGCAAGGAGCUCCUGAGCAUGGUUUCUAUCUACAUCGAAGAAGAAAGAAGAAAUAAAGGGUUAAAGCUUCCAACGGCUAGUUUUUGUUUAAAUGAAUGUGUGAGUGUGUGAGUGACAAGUGUACACUCCAUAUUAGGUCACUUAAAACCCAAAUGAAGGACUAUGAUUAAAUAUGGAGUAGUAAGGUUAAAAUGGUUGUUAAGCCUCUUGUCAAUCACCUUUUUACACAAGUAUGGGUCAUGGCAAUGCACCAUACCCUACUACAUUUCCCUUAGUUAAUGAAAUCUGAGCUGCUGCAUUUUACAUAGCCAAUCAAGCAGUCAAUCACAUCUCCAAGUCCUCUCCAUUCUCUGCUAAGAAACCGAUCCAAAAUAUAACCAAAAUCAUCCAAAACAAACAAACCUUUAUCAACUAUGAGGGACAAUGGUUCUAGACAGAAGUACUCACAAUUCUGAAAUAAAAUCAUCCUCGUUUGGCUUCUCCAAAGAACGGAAAUGAACGAUCUAUAGAACUCCAAAUCACUCAAUGGUCAAUAUAGUUAGGUUAGAAAACCUAAGGCAACUCUUAUAAUACCGUAAUGACAGUCCACCCGAAAAAAGUAAAAGGAGGUGCGAAAAACAUGUAAAAGCUUCCACAUCCUGUACCAGGAUUUUAUUUAAAUAUUCCAAAAAUGAAAGGACGUCAAGAUAUAAACAUUCUUCUUCGCUUUCAAGUGGAGUGGAUUUUUGAAAGCAGAUAAUGUCCCCAUCUUCAAUCGGAAAAACAAAGCACUAAUAUUUACCUAGCAAUCCGGAUAGCAGCAAAACUGUUCAUUCCUAUUUCAGGCACUUGUUUGCAAUAUGCCAAGCUUGCAAUAUAGCAACACUUACCUCACUUAAUCGAAAUGAGGUCCUCUUGCCGAGAUGAUCACACCUGUCCCUUGGGUCGAACUUUAUUUCCUGAAUGUAGCAUAAAAACAGGUAACCGAAACGUGCAUCUGAUAGUUAUGACACGGCUAUUUGCAAAAAAAAAUAGAUGUGAAAUAGACCUCAUGAAGUUCAAUUUCUUCCUCGGGAAAAACCAGCCAGUUGAUUUAAUUUUGCUAAAAUCUCUACUGGCUCGCUAGAAAUAUUCACAAAAAACCUACCAACGAAACUGGUAUACACAAAGAAACUUAAUCACAAACAAUGAAUUAAAAGGAAAAACUAUUUAGCUCAGCAGAAAGAGCCAGAGGUACCGUAGUUCUCAUUUCUCCGGUUCAUAAAGCUUAAACAAAAGCAAGAUAUCUUCUUUGGUUUUCUCAGGCGGAGGAAUAGGACGUUUAUCCUGGAGAAUUGCAUCGAAGCAAGAAAAUCAUAAGAAAACAUCUUCCGUACAGAAAUUGUUGCUGCAAGUAAAUCUCAAACCAUAGGUCAACACAAUGAUAGAGACUGGAUUCCGGCCCAAGCUCUACUUCUAAAAACAACAUUAUCUCUGAAUUUUUGUGCUGUUUAUAUAGACCUUCAAUUUUUCGACCUACGAAACAAAAGGUCUUGAUUAGCACGCAUAAGGAACGUAUACGAAGCUGUGAAAGGCAACAAUAAGCACAUCAAAACACUACUAGUCUUCUGAUCAUUUCAAAUAUGGACUUCCAACAAAUCCAUUCAUUGGGCACUUAAAAAGUAGAAAGUGUAAAGUAAUUACUGAUUGUAAUUGUUCUUCGGGUGUCAAUGGUCGAAUGGGGCAGUAUGUGUGGUUGUGUCUCUUGGCCCAAAUCCAAAACCGCAGAAAUUGCACUGGUAUGCCAAACUCUUGUGCAACCACUCCUGGGAACCAUUUCAAACUGAAUUAAGAAUCUGCUGCCCUCAACAAUCAUCAAUUACAAAAACCCGAAAGGGUAUAAAAGGAAAAACCAGACAUGAAUGCCGAAAAGUGAACCUGUACUGCCGUACCUUGAAAACAUAAACGGGAAUCUGUUUCUUAAUGGGGAAACUACGAACUUUGUCAUGGUCCACAAGGUCGAAGUAUGUUCCCUUCCAAUUUGUUUUACCAGAUUCUCAUCUCGAGCAACCUAAGCAUAUUAAUAAAUAGCCUCUCUCAUAAUUCUUUGAUGUACAUCAAGUCCCUGUACUAGCACUUCUGAAAAAGUAAUGGUGAAAGCGGGGAAAGAGAAGAAGUCUUAACCUUAAUGAUAGUAUAAAGUUGAGCUUGUGUCUUAUGCCAUUUUUCGUCCUCCUCCUCCUCUUGUUCUUUUUUUCUUUUCAAACUUGUCUGAAAUGAAACAGAGUGACAAUUCAGUCUCUUAGAUGGACACUUGAAAGCAGAACUUAUGAUUGACGUAACACUAACUACGACAAUAACCAAGAACACUAAAAAGCAGGUAAAGUUCCCGCAGCCUGUAUUGGGGAUUUUGCAUCUACCAGAAAUGAAGUGUAAAGUAAAUACAGAUUGUGAUUCCUCCUUGGGUGUCAAUGGUCGACAAGGGCGAUAUGUUUGGUUUUUUCUCUUAACCCAAUACCAGAAGCGCUGAAAUUGCACUGGUAUUCCAAACUCUUCUGCAACGUCCUCCUGUGAACCAUUUCAAAAUUAGAAUUCUAAUGGUAACAACACAACUGAAUUCGGAAAUCUGAGGUACUACUGUCUGUACCUUGAAACGCCAAAAGUGCAUCUUUUUUUUAAUAGGAAAACUACGAAUUUUGUCAUGGUCCACAAGGUCAAAAUAUAUGUCCCUUUCAAUCUGUUUUUCCAGGUCCACGUCUUGAGAAACUGACCAUAUAAAUAAAUUCCGUCUGCCGUAAUUUUUGGAUGUAAACCAAAUACCUGUAGUAGCACUUCUAAACAAGCAGUGGUAGGUACAAGAAGUCUUCACCCUAAUAAGAGUAUAACAGUCCACUUGUGCCUUGUAUCUCCUUGUUUCUUCCUUUUCUUCUUCGUUCUUCAACCUUAUGGUCCUGAUCUGAAAUUAAAAAAAAUGUCAGUUAAGUGACCUCAGUCUCUUAGUUGUACACUUGAAUGGAGAACUUACGCUCAAUGUAGCAUUAACUAGACGUAGAGACAAAUGAAGACUGUAUCAUUCACCAGAUAACCCAUACUAGGAUCAUAAAGCUCAAUGAGAGGCAUGAAGCAGGUGAAUCCAAGGCCAAUUUCAUUUGUACAGAACUGGUGAUGUGUUUCUGAAACUCCAUGUAAAGAAUCAGGAAUCGAGGUUCAGAAAAUACUCAAAAUGUGAACAAAACUUGAUCGAUUCUAGGACACAUAAACUUUUUUUUUUAACACAAUUGUAACAUACACCAUUAACAAAAGAGAAAUGUAUUGGUGAAGAUCACUACAUGCUAGCAGCAGGUAAUUAGGCAUUAAUUUUUUUAAUAACAUUUUUUUCCAGUGCAAUUUUCUGUUAGUGAGCUACAUUUGUUUCCCCUCAUUUUCUAUUACCUUUUCAAACCCCUUAAUUACUUGGGUACGGUACAUGCAUUUACUUAAUACAUUCAUGAUCUAACGGUUAUAUAUGCAACCAAAAAUAGAGAAUAUCAUAUCUAACCGUUAGAUGACGAAUGCAUUAAAAAGCAUAAACUCUGAACAUAUGAUCAAGGAAAAACUUCAGUAAGGCAGCUGGCCACACUUGGUCUCUUGCUUUGAUUUUACCUUUCUUGUUUUGAUUUCAAAGAAAAAAAUUUAAACUGAUAAAGAAGUAUACCCUUUGUUACUGAAUCCUUGCUAUGGAUCUGAUUGACUACAGCCAAGCUGAACUGAACAUAUCGACUCCACCCGUCUGGCAAUGUCCCAGAAUCUGCAGCAUCUAAGUACAUGGAAAACCAGCCCACAUUGUUGCUUCCCUUUGGAAAUAUUUGUUGGUAUUUCAAAGUUUAGUAACUCAAUACCAAAAAUAUGUGGGUGAUAAGUUUUCUAAUUUUAUCACACCUCUCACUAUCACUCUCAAUAAAACUGGACAAACUAAAGGAAAGAAGUAGCAAACUUGUUGAUAACAAAACACUUUGAAAUAUUAGAAGAGUUUAUAACUCUUAAAGGUUACAAGCUGAAAAAUGAGAAUGGGAAUUCGGAUGGUUUUUUCUAAAGCCUUACAAGAAGCUUAAUUAUACAUGCAAAAGUUACAAACCACUCAAGUGCUUUUUAAUAAAAAAAAUACACACACAUGCAAUCAAUGAUGGUGUUUACCAUCUUAAUAAACAAACAUCACAACCUUUCGGCUAGUAGCUCACACUUUCUGAAAAGUGUUCCAACAAUUUCUGAAAAGUGUUCCACCACUUUCUGAAAAGUGUUCCACCACUUUCGGCCACUGUAUUUGAUUUGAACUUCCAACACGCCCCCUCAAAUCAAAAUACCUUCAUGCCUAGCAUUUCACGCAGCAAUCGAAAUGAUUCAACUGGUAGUGGCUUUGUGAAGAUGUCAGCUACUUGUUCCUUCGUGUGACAAUGGACAAGUUCAAUUGUUUUUUGUUUCACGUGGUCCCUCAGAAAAUGGAACCUGGUAUCAAUAUGCUUGCUCCUUCCAUGUUGGACUGGAUUCCUAGCAAGCUUGAUAGCUGAGAUGUUAUCCACAUGAAUCACAGUCGAUUCCACUUGUGGAUGACACAUUGACUUCAACAGAUUUCUUAACCAAAUUGUCUCACACACAGUUGAGGCUACAGCAACGUAUUCGGCUUCACACGAUGACAAAGCAAUAAUUGAUUGCUUCUUUGAAGUCCAUGAGAAAGCUGUUGAUCCUAGAAAAAACACAUAGCCAGUUGUGCUUUUCCUUUCAUCUUGGUCACCUCCCCAAUCACUAUCUGAAUAACCAAAUAAUUUUGCAUCUUCACGAAAAUUAUAAAACAGACCAUAGUUUAGAGUACCUCUUAUGUACCUCAAAAUUCUCUUGGCGGCCAGCCAAUGAGACUCCCUAGGUAUUUCCGUGUACCAACUCACGAGUCCAACGCCAUAAACUAUAUCAGGUCUUGUGUGAUUGUAAGGUACUUUAGGCUUCCAACCAAGCUUUUUUACACGGUUGAGUUUACAAACUCACCUUCUCCUUCCUUGGACAGCUUCAAUCCAGUUGCAACUGGAGUGUUGACAAUAUUACACUUGUCCAUAUUGAAUUUCUCCAAUAUAUCUCUCAUGUACUUCUGUUGAGAGAUGUAGAUACCAUCACUUUCUUGCUUCACCUCUAUGCCAAGAAAGUAUGACAUUAAUCCAUUAUCAGUCAUCUCAAAUUCACUGAACAUGGAUUGCUUUAACUCACGAAACAUUGCUUCAUUGUUUCCUGUAAACAAUAAGUCAUCUACAUAGAGACAAAUAAUUAAGAACUCCCCUUUUGUACCAUUCUUCAUGUAAACUGAAUGCUCGUAUGGACAUUUCUGAAAUCCAUUUUGGUGAAGGUAGUUAUCAAUCCUUGAGUUCCAAGCUCGUGGUGCUUGCUUGAGGCCAUACAAAGCCUUCUUCAAACGAUACACAUUUUCUUCUUCUCCUUGUACUCCCAUCUGCAUUGCGUUUGAUCUUAUACACCCACUUGACACCAAUAGCCUUCUGAUUUGGUGGGAGCUUUGUCAACUCGCAAGUGCCAUUCUUCUCGAUGGCAUGGAUUUCUUCCUCCAUGGUUAUUCUUCAACGAUCUUCUUCCACAGCUUCAUUGAAUGAGAAGGGCUCGUGGUCUGCAUACAAGCAGAAAAGGUUGGUUUCUUCUUCUUCUUCUUCUUAUCCAUAUAUCUCGGUGAGACUUCUUAGCCUCACUAAAGUUGAGGAGCUGCUUUCUUCACUGGAUGUAGGGCCACUCCUUGCAUGUCUGUGUAAUGGAGUUGUUGUGAUUGUUUGAGCAGGUUGUUACUCGACAGGUGGUACAACUUCUGGUUCUUCAAAAUCAGUGGAGACGAUAUUCUCUUUACCGACUUCUUUGUUGUUCCACUUCCAUGCAUCUUCCUCGUUGAAGAUGACAUCUCUACUAACCACUAGUUUGCUAGUUAGUGGGUUGUAGAGUUUGUAUGCCUUAGACUCUUCACUAUAGCCCACAAACACACAUUUUUCACCUCGAUCAUCAAGCUUCCUCCUCUUGGCUUUUGGAACUUGAGCAUAUGUAACACACCCAAAAACUCUUAGGUGUGCAACAUUCGGCUUGUAUCCACUCCAAGCCUCUUGUGGUGUCAUCCUCUUGACACUUUUUGUUGGACAUCGAUUCAACAAAUAAAUCGAACAAGCUACAGUUUCUGCCCACAAUUCUUUUGGCAAAUUCUUCUCUUUAAGCAUAGGCCUUGUCAUGUCAAGGAUGGUUCGAUUCUUUCUUUCGGCUAUCCCAUUUUGUUGUGGGGUAUAGGCAGCAGUCAGUUGAUGUCUAAUUCCUUGCUCCUUGUAAUAUGCUUGGAAAGCAUUGGAGGUGUACUCUCCACCUAUAUCUAAUCUCACAGCCACAAGCUUGUGGUUGCUUUCAGCUUCUGUGAAUGCCUUAAACUCCUUGAAAACUCUUAGGGCAGUCGACUUCUCCUUGAGAAAAUAAACCCAAGUCUUCCUACUAAAAUCAUCAAUGAAGGUAAUAAAAUACCUAUUACCUCCAUAGGACAUAGGAUCCAACGGACCACAUAUAUGUGUGCACUAACUGCAGUGUUGCCUUUGCUCUCCAUGUAUCACCAACAGGGAACGAUAGUCGUGCUUGUUUACCAAGUACACAACCUUCACAUACAUUGUGUGUGGCUUCAAUCUGGGGUAGACCACGAACCAUUUCUCCACUUGACAAUAACUUUAGACCAUUGAAAUGAAGAUGGCCAAACCGAAGAUGCCAUUUCCAUGACUCAUCUUUCAUCACACCAAUGUUGUAGCUUCCAAUAUUUGUGUUCAACUUCAACAGGAACAUUCAUUUCUUUGACAUUUGAAUACGUGCAAUAAGCUUUCUCUUUGCAUUCCUGAGAGUGAGAAGCAAAUUCUCCAUAUGUAUAACAUGCCCUUUCUGGAGCAGUUGACCAAUGCUCAGAAUGUUGCUCUUCAUACCUGGUAUGUAGUAGGUAUCGGAUAUGUAUUCUUCUCUACCAUCCCUUCUGGAUGAUUUUGAUUUUUCCUUUGCCUUCAACUGGAAACUUUGAGGAGCCACCAAGACUCACAGAUCCAUAAGGCCUAUCUUUGAGUUCGACAAAAAACUCUUUCUUUCCACACAUGUGGUUGCUUGCACCAGAGUCCAAAUACCAAACAUCUUAUUGGCUACUGAUAUCAUGGUGUGCUAGUAAGACUGUAAAUUCCUCACCAGCAUUUCCACUUGAUUCUACCAUGUUAACAUGCUCACCAUUUUUUUAUGAACAGUCAUUGGCAUAAUGUCCAUAUUGCUUGCAACUGUGACACUGGAUAUGAGCAUUUCCUCUAGUAGAUCUCCACUCUUGAGAUUGACCUCGGUUUUGUGCAUAGCCUCGACCUCUUCCUCGGGCUCGUCCUGUGCUAGGUUGGAUGAAAUCCCACAACGUGAGUUCCACUGCCCACGACCUCCAUUUGGUUUGUGAAUAUUCAACUUUGACUCCAAAGCUUGCUCUAGCAUUGUAGGGCUUGCAUUCUUCUGAAUGCAUUGCUCGUGAACCAGAAGGGAUCCUAGCAGUUCCUUUGCGCUCAUUUUCUCCAAAUCCUUGGAUUCCUCAAUGGCAGUCACCACAUGCUCAAAUUUGCAUGUAAGGGAUCGAAGGAUUUUCUCCAUGACACGAACAUCUUCAAGCUUCUCGCCAUUCCUUUUCAUUUGAUUCACAAUUACAAGUAGUCGAGAGUAGUAGUUUGAAAUGUUUUCUCCUUUUUUCAUAUAAGUAGCCUCAAAAUCUGCUCUUAAUGAUUGAAGCCGGACUCUUUUUACUCGAUCUACUCCUUGGUAAAUUGUCCUCAGAGUGUCCCAAACUUGCUUGCUAGUUGUUGCUUUUGCAACCUUCUCGAACGUUGAAUCUUCUAAUCCUUGAUAUAGAAGAUAUAGCACCUUCUUGUCCUUCUUUCGUAAGUCCUUGAGAGUAUUCCUUUGAUCUAUAGUGUAGGCAGCUUCUUGCUCAGUAGUGGGUUCAUCAUACCCAUUACUGACAACUUCCCAUAGGUCCUAUGAUCCAAACAAUGCUUUGAACUAGAUGCACCAUCUUUCAUAAUUUUCUUUCUUCAAUGUGGGAACCUGGAGCUGCACUAAGUUAGAUGCCAUAGCUACUGCACUUGCCAUAAAGGUAACCUGGCUCUGAUACCAAAUGUUGGUAUUUAAAAGUUUAGUAACUCAAUGCCAAAAAUAUGUGGGUGAUAAGUUUUCUAACUUUAUCACACCUCUCACUAUCACUCUCAAUAAAAUUGGACAAACGAAAGGAAAGAAGUGGCAAACUUGUUGAUAACAAAAUACUUUGAAAUAUUAGAAGAGUUUAUAACUCUUAAAGGUUACAAGCUGAAAAAUGAGAAUGGGAAUUGGAAUGGAAUGGGAAUUCGGAUGGUUUUUUCUAAAGUCUUACAAGAGGCUUAAUUAUACAUGCAAAAGUUACAAAUCACUCAAGUGCUUUUUAAUAAAAAAAUACACACACACAUGCAAUCAAUGAUGGUGUUUACCAUCUUUUAAUAAACAAACAUCACAACCUUUCGGCUAGUAGCUCACACUUUCUGAAAAGUGUUCCAACAAUUUCUAAAAGUGUUCCACCACUUUCUGAAAAGUUUUCCACCACUUUCGGCCACUAUAUUUGAUUUGAACUUCCAACAAUAUUAGUAUCCUCCUGAUCAAACAAACCAUAGCAAUUCAAAAUCCAAUCAACCAAGAAGAAAAAUAUAUAAACCAACUUCGGGUGCGUAAAUCGAAUGUUGACAUGAAGGUCUAUAUCUAGGGAAGAAGAAAAAAAUUACCAUUUAUAACCGCCAGCAAUGAAGAUAUCAGAAUAGACAUUCCUGGUGUUCAGAGUAGUAAAGUUAUCAAUUUUCCGAGUUUCAUGCUCGUAAGAUCCUCCAAUUGCGCGUCUACCAGCACACCAAAUACCAUUUAUUUUGUUAACGAAUUAUUGAUAAGGCUUCAUUUACUUCUAAGUAGUUAUCUUUGUAGUUAAGAGUCCUAGUUUUAUAUGGCUAGGGUUCUUCUUUGUAAUUAUAUAUACAUGUAAACUCAACGAAAGUAUCCAGAAUUCAUUUUCUACAUAUUUCAAAAACCCUACAGAAAAUGUGAUCAGUUACACUCUAGUCAGACGCCAUUGUUACCCUGAACUAUACUAAGGAGGGGAAUGAUUUGGACUCACUCAGGAAGAAGAAGAAAACUCUAUCCAUAACCGCAAUCCACUAUUAUUUUUUAGAAAUUCAAAUUGUUGAGGAUUGACGGGAGAACAGACUUGCAUGGCUUAAAAGUAAGACUACUCUCUAUAUGGCCAAUUAGAUGAGAGAAAAUAAGUAAAUUGAGCUACUAUCCAUAUUGUCAGUUAGUUUUAUGAUGGAAUCUCAAUCUUCUUCAUGUUAUCAUAGCAAGUUGUCCAAAAUGUAAGGCUCGUCAUCCGCUCCACGUCAUCCGACCCACGUCAUCCGAUUUUUGUUGUUCACAUGCUAAGCUUGAAAAUUCUCCACACGUGAGGCGGUAUGCUGAGAGUAUAAAGUCCACACAUGAAACGGCGUGUUGAGAGUAUGCAUGUGCUUAUAAGCAAUUGGAUCUGUGACCAAAUUUGAGUGUGGCAUGCACAAGCAUCUGUUCGUGUGAGCAAAGCAAUAAAUCCAGAGCUCUAAUCGUGCAAAACGUAUCGCUAUACUACUGAAUGGCCAACGGUUCGGAGAAACCACACGCGACCCGCCUAAAUCAUUCUUAUCAGCCCAUACCCGAAUAUGAUUUUUACAUUUUUCAUUGAUUAUGUUUUGAUACUUUAUUUAUUUAAUGUUAAUUUUAUACUAGCACUACGUUUUAGUGAUAUUCUACAUCACUUGAAAAUUAAAGGUAUUAUGUUCGACUCUAAUUAAUGGCAAGUUCAAAACCCAAGUUAUAAAUGAUAGAGCAGUUGUCACUCAGUACUACAAUGUAGUAGUAUUCCUCUUUACUUAUAAUUAAGAAAUCUUAAGUUCGAAUCUCGACCUGUAUCCCUUUAGUGUAGAUACUUAAAAUGUUGUACCAAAAAAAAAAAAACAAAGAAAGUUAACUAUGCUUCCUCUCCAUGAUGAGUCGAUUUCAUACUAUAUAUUUUACUCUAUUCUUAGUAGGUUUUGAUGAUUAUUUUAGGGAGAUUUUAAUAUUUUGAUUUAUAUUUUUUAUGUAGGACAUGUGGAUCUGUUUUAGCAUAAAGUUAUAAAUCACUAGACUAUCCUCUUCGUCCGACCAUGGACACAAUAUUACCUUGGCAUUUUUCAUCUCUCCAUGAAAAUGUUAUAUCCGAAUCAUUUGGUCUUGUUUGAUUGUUGUUGAGCGUUGCCUCAUUGAAAUAAAUUUCCAUCCAUCACCACAAAAGUUCUUAACUGGGUGACUUGACCUGUUAAAAUAAUAGGUGUUAGGACACACGACCAGACUUAUAUCACAACUUGGUCACUUGGACCAUUAAUAGGUGACACAACCCAAAUUGUAUAAUUUAGCUAAACUUCAUAGGCCAUUUAUGAUAAAAACUGAAUAGCAACCCCUAGAAUGAGCCACCGGUUCAAGUACAAGAUCCUAUCAUUACCGCCAAGACAUCCAACUGGUAGUCAUAACAACCCGAUUGCAAGAGAAAAGCUCGACCCAUCCACCAGGUCGGUUUUUCCUUUAUUAAUUUAUAAAAUUUUGGAUUUUUUACUUCGAAGUCUAGCUCCGAUUCCUUCUGCUAUGAGGUAGAUCGGCCGCUACUCCUCCGCAAGGAAGUGUUGGUUAGGCAAUGUGUGGUUGUUAAACAAAGAUCCACUUUUAGCAGGGUGCAGAUUAAGCCAAAAACACAAUUUUGUCGGAGUAACCAAACGAGGAGGGGUAGGAGUGUAAACGAAAAACACCCAUCAGCACAAUCAUCUUCCUUCCCAUUCAGACUCGAACAAUGUGAGGAAACAAGUUACCUGAAUUUUGCACGACGUGUUCAUUUCUUUGCAUGUUCAUACAAACUUUUGGACCAAGAAAGGGCUUAUUCACAAAGGAAAAUAUUUCUAAAACUUAAAGUACUUCUUCAGUGCAUCUUGUAGGACGGCCCAGGUUCCAACAGAACUACACUUUUGCAAUGUCAAGGUAGCCUGCCUCACAAUCAAGUUUUCAGAUUUUAAUGAGCUAUCUGCAAACCUCUGCUUAAGAGGUUCCAUUUCAUCCACAGCAGUUUCUAGAUUCGCCAUUGCCUCAGCUCGUUCUGCCUUUACUCGGACCAGUUCAGCCUCAAGUUCUGUAACCUUGGCAUCAUAAUUGGCCACAAUGUAUUUCCUCUCUUGGCAUUUCUGCAUGGCCAGUCCCAUUUGAACUUCUAUCCCUUCGUGUUCGACUCGAAAAUCUUCAGCUUGGGUAAGCUCUUUUACUGCGGCCACGUACUUCAGCAUUUCACCAUCCAAAGACGAAAGAAGAUCCUUGAACAUGGAAGUGAUCGUUGAAGGGAUCAUCCCUUGUUCAGUCACAAGUUUCAAGGCUGCUUUGAACUCCUCAUAAGCCCCAUUCGUGCAGAGUGUGUCUAGGCUGCUCCUUGCAUAACGGCUCACAGUGUCUAAUGCAGCCAAAGUCUCUACUGAUGGUCCUCUGGCUGAAGUGGACUUCAAUAGAUCCUCUGCAGCAGAAAGUCUUCUCAGAGUUCGAUCAACUGCUGGAGAAGCAGGGCCAUCCAGGUCAUCAUUUUGCAUUUCAAUUUCUCUGCUUGCUGUCUCAUGGCCAACAUUAGACGCCAUGGACUCUAAGGUUACUUGGGCAGCCUGCAUCAGAGUCCAGAGAUCAUUAUGAAGAUUAAAUUUUUUUAAAAUGAAUGUGGGCUUGGUCGGAUUCUUACGUCUUCUUGUGGAGUUGGCUCUGCCUGGCAAAUAGAGGUUGGAAAAGAAAUAUUUACAACAGCACUUACUUGAUUUGCUGCGUGAGCCCUCUUAGGAGCUUUAUCAGAGUGCUCCAACCCAAGGUACUGCUCCCAUGCACCAUAAACAUCUCUUCUCUGAAGAAAACAAAAUUUCAAAUGUUGGAAGUUAAAAAAGAAAUCCACCUAGGCAAUACCCAUAAACAUGGUUUAGAUUGGCCUGC
Molecule: long non-coding RNA, 56128 nt
Filed under: Malus domestica (apple)
Lineage: Eukaryota; Viridiplantae; Streptophyta; Magnoliopsida; Rosales; Rosaceae
Description: long non-coding RNA (MDOM_LNC011124)
Source: RNAcentral